GAGGAUUGCCGGUGUUGUCAUGGCGGAGCGGAGAUUGUCCAGGGUUUCCUGAUGAUACUCAUGAGAUCCGUGAGAGAAAUUGAAUCGAGCCACGUUCAUUCCGGCCCUCAGCAGCUUCUCUACCAUCGCCACCGAUCUCGAUGCCGGCCCAAGCGUGCACACAAUCUUCGUCUUCGGCCUCUUCUCUACUCCAUUAUCCUUCAUCAUCUCCAUUUCCUCGCACGCAAUCGAAUCGAUCUAGAGAGCGCGCGGUUAUACGAGGGUCAAACGAGGAGUUUCGAAACGUUUACAUACGCAAACCGUGAUGCUGGUAGGUGUGGAGAGAGAGAGAGAGAGAGAGGACCUGGUUAUUGGCCCCAGUUGAAGCCCACUUGAAUUUUUUUUUCUAUUUUCUUGGGUGACAAGUCCAUCAAUACAUAAAAUAAAAUAAAAAAAUAAAGAAGAAGAAGAAGAAGGUCGUCUUUUCCCGCUUGCUUGGGCUACUUUGCUAUUUAAAAUGAAUUCAUUUAAGAAAGAUUUAUUUAUUUAUUUUCCCAUCUAAACUAGGAGUCAUAAGACUUAUUCUUUUCACUUGUAAAAAAAUAGAUAAUUAAUUUUUGCAUUUUUACACUCCAAAAUAGGAAUGUAGAAAUCAAUAACAUAAUGGUGUUAAUUUCUAAACUCCUAUUUUAAAGUGUAAAAAUUAAAAAUGAAAGUGCGAAAAUCACUUCCCAAAAAAUACUUGGUGAAAACUUCAUACCCAGCCGCCUCAUAAGAAGCAUUCUAACAAGAAAGAUUUUCUGUUCAUGAAUUAUGGGAAGCUGUCAAAGUUUUUUGCAGAGUCGUCGUAUCCCCAUGACCAUGACCAUGGGUUUCAGUUCACUUUGACAGGAAGGGAAUUGUGGGCCAUCAUCAUGUCUGUGGAAGAGCAUUUCGGUUUCUUAAUUUUGUAGGACUCAUCAUCAUAGGAUUCGCUUCUUCGGAUUUCAUUUUCUCUGUAAGAAUGGGAGUCGUUGGGGUUGGGCCAACUUUUAAAUAAUGAUAGGGGGUGCAUCAGAGGAAGCAUAAAAUGGAAAGAAAACCUAAUGAUCCUUGGUUUGGGUCCUAUCCUAUCCCAUCCUAUGGGAUAUGAUUCCUUUUGAAAUUGAAUUUUCUCCAUUUUGAUUCUCAAGUUUACAAUAAGAAAGAAAAUGAUAUGGAUUCAGAGUCCUUUUUAGACUUCAAAAAUAAAAAUAUAAAACGGAGCUCGAGAAGAAAAUGAAGAGCGUGUUUGAGAAGUUGGUUGGUUGGUUGGGUCGUGGAAUGAGAAGAAGCACAAGUUGUAACGAGGUUAAGAUGGACUCCGACUUGAAUCCAUUUCCAUGAUCCGAUCCUUCAUCUUUCAAGCCCUGAUACAUAUACAUAGAGUAGAUAUAUAAUAUCAUAUCCAUCCUCUCCUAAUUUUAUACAAUACACACCACACCACACCACACCACACCACACGUGCAUGAACUUAGCAAUACCAUCUUGUUUCGAUCAGUCAACUUCUUUUUAUGAAUGCACAGACAGAGAUCUGUCCCGUGGAAGACCCCCUCAAACAACUUUGUACUUAUAAAACGACUUACAAAAUUUACAUAAAUGAAUGACUUCUUCAGUGACUAAUUAUCUUUUUGAAAUACAUUGAAAAUGACUCUAGUAGGAAGAGAUAAUAAAGGAUUAUAAUUUCUAAUAAUAAUUCAGUAGAAAUCCAAACAAGCCACAAACUAGGAGAAAAUCAAAACCAAAUUCAUGCCAACUCCAGAUACUGCAUGAAUCAUAAGAAAAAUUACAGUCCUAGAGUCUAGGGCAAAAGGAAUGUUGUUUCUGAUGACAAAACUACAUGGUCAUCAUCAUAGUCCUAAGUUCAAUUGUGAAAGAAAAUGAGGAUGACAAUACGAAAAAUCAGAUUUUGUGGAAGGUCUAUCCUCGUAAAAACUUCCAUAUUGUUUUGGAGCAGGAACAAUACAAAAAGGAAAAAGUGCUUCCAAGCCUCAACUCACCUUUUCUCCUUCCGUUUCCAUUGAAGCCUCUCGCUCGCUUCACAAUUUGUGAAAAAUCUCACAACACAAUAUCAAGUGACCUCCUAACAAAAUGUAUAAGCAAGCAACUUCGUAUGCUGAUUGCUAUAUAUAAGCCUAGCCAGAGAGUUUUAAGUUCAUCAUGGACCUUGUGGUUGCUCCUUUGUCAUCAAGUCCAGUUUAUCUUGCAGUCCGUCACACGUUCGUUCACAUACUCAAAACACUGAGCUCAUCGGAGAACAAAAACUAAAUACCAUGAAAGUUCCAAAGCAGGAUAGAAUACGUGAAAAUCAGUCUGAUAGGAACAAGUACCUUGAGCUUUUAUUCUACAAAGAGAACUGGGGUAGAUAGCAAUGCUCAUAUCUGCCACAACCAAAAUAACGUAGUUUGCAAGGCAUGGACUACAGCAUACGGAGGAGAAGAGAGAGAGAGAGAGUGAGAGUCAAUCGCAACGGCUUGGUUAUCCACAGACAGUUGCCCUCAUUCUUCAACCCACAUCUUAAUUUUGAACUGUAUGAGGAGAGAGAGAGGAGAGAGAGGAGAGAGGAGAGAAGAGAUGGCAUGCACCAUGUCAAUUUGAGGAUUUGCUCAAUUUCCAAUAAACAAACACAAAAUGUUGACAGUUGUUUAAAGGUGAAUAGGAACAGAAUUGACCACAAUAUCAGCCAAACCCAGGCACAUGACUGGAAGAGGCAAAUGACCUACAAAGGGCAUACAAAAACUUCGAGGACGUUGAUCGAAUACAUCAUACUGAUAGAAACCAAUUUUAAAGGAGAGUUUCGCCACAUUAACCAAACAAUGUGUGACCAAAGACAACUAAAUGAUGGCCAGUACCUUUAACGUCUGUCAGGUCCAUUCCACAUUUAUCCAUUUGAAAAGAGCAUGACUUUGAUGAGUCCUCAAAUUUGUCACAGUUACUACAGUCAGGAAACGAGAGGAGCAUUAAUAAUCAGCAAGCUAAUAAGAAAGGAAACAAAAAGGAUAAGAGCUGUCGCAGCAAACGGACAUUUCAUAAGGCGACUCCAUGCAGAACACAAAAAAGCACAUAAUAUAUACCUGCAUCCUAAAUUUUCCAUUAAUCUACGGCAGAUUCAUGUAACAUCAAGUUGAGUCGUCAUUGGUGCACAGUCACUUAAAUAAGGCAAAUAAGAGAACGAUUUGUGUCAACAUGAGGAUCAGGCUGCCAUUCUCCCUAUUGAUAGUCAACUUAUUAAAUCAAAUCAUUAUUAUCUAACGUUCCAGCAGGCUAAGGACAACAAAUAUGGAGCCAAAUUAUUCCUUGGACAGUCCAAGGGGCUCCUCGAGAUCAUCUUGACCUGGCCUCCCAAGUGAAAGAAAUACAAAUGAUUACCAUCACACAGCCUUAGAAGGACUGGUCUGGAAAAAAACAUCAGUCAAUCCACAAUGCAGUCUACCGAGAAGUUUUUCAGGUUGUCAACAAAGAAAGAAUCAAAGAAUUAAUGCAAGGAACAAAGUGGAUGACAUUGAUGCCUACCCAAGGCGUCGUGCUUGUGACCCUCCUCCUGUGAAGUUGUUUGAAUGGGCAAAUUUUAUAGACAUACCUGAAAGCAAUAUUUGCAAUACAUUAUGAGAGGGGGAAACCGAUAAUGUUCGAAAAAUAGUAACCCAACUUAAGAAAGUACAGGUUCAUAAACUUGUUCUGCUGAUCUCAAAGCCUUUAUCAGUAGAAUGAAUUAGAACUCCUUUCUGGACCUGGAAUGACGCCAUUGUGGGCUUAGAUAACUGAUGAAGCCAAACUACAAACGGAUUAAAACUAAAUAGAGCAGGCAUUAUGCAAUGCCUGUCUUUCACUUACCCAAAUCAUGUUUUUAGCUUUUUUGUCAACUGAUAUUCUUGAUGUAUCUUAGGACAACUUGGAGCUGGAAUCAAUCAUAUUCUUUGCGCCCAUGAGAGCCUCUACAGUGCCAAAACACAACAGCAAACCCAUUCUCAUUGCAUAGCAGUCAUUCAGUUUCCAAGUGCCAGUAAAAAUGAAAUUUUCAUUAGCUACUGAUAGAUCUACAGGAGUCUGGAACAAAUAACAGCUUGUAGAUUUUACGAACAGUUUGUUGUAUCUUUCUAACCAAGAUGGGCACUUGAGGCCGUUCACUGAACAUGUAAAAGUACAUACAACUUCACAAGGAACUGAAGACUAUAUUGGGUAAACAUACUCUCCCCCUCUAAUUGGUUAAAAUACCCACGGUUUUAAAUGGGACCACUCUAUUAUUCAAAGUGGCCCCUGUAUUUCAACUAAUCAAGAGGAGGGUAAUGUUUAUCAGGUGGGUGAACAUACUUGCACUCCUAAUAUUCAUUGUAGUGAAGAACGAAAUAUUAACUGGCUCGCAUUUUUAUGGAAAUAUUGGAAGAAGUAGAUGCAAACCUGACAAGUUUAACUCAUCAUCUGACACCGAUUUGUACGAAGAACUGAAAUCGUCAUGAUUCUCCUGUCCAAAGUCUUCUGUACGUUCUUCUUCUUCAUCGUCGUCGUCAUUAUAUCUUUGGCUUUCAUCCUCUGAAUCAUAUCCUUCAUAUUCCUCAUCAUGUGCAUCUGUAGGUGCCUUAGAGAUUUCAGGUUUAUCAUCCUUCACAGCAUCAACUUCCCUAGUUUGCUCCCCUGUAUUUUCUCCUGUCCAACGGGAAGCGACAAGACGACCCAACUCUUCUUUUGACAGUGACUUGGGCUCCUAAGAAUACCACUCAAGGCAAAUACUCAUCUCCUCAAAUUAAAAUGAAGGUAUCCACGUAUGACAAGGUCCAAGGGAAACCCAAUAACUACAUGCAAUCACUUAAAAUCCAAUGAACUGUCAACAGUUUAACAGGCAUCUUCCAAAUUCCAAAGAAGGGAUCUUUGCUCAUGGCCAAAAAAAAAAUAAUAAUAAUAUGAAGGAAAAAAAACUUCAAGUCCAGGAAGGUAAUGCAUCUCAAUUUUUUCACAAUUAUCACGGUCUUAGAGUUCAGUCAGAAUUAAUUUUCAGACAAUUGAAUCCAAACACGGUGUCCUAAAUCAAGAUUUGUCAAAAUUCAGAGAAAGAAUUUGAACUAAAUGGAGGAAUAUUUUUGUGGAUAUGUUUCUAAUAAUCAACUGACAAAUUCUGGAGAAAACAGAAUUCUAAUAUUUAUUUCAGCCAAAACUUUGACCAGUUCUCAAAAACUCAGCUGAAAAUGCAGUCAAGAAAGUAAAAGAAUAUAUGAAACUCAGUUUUUCAAACAUGGUCCAUAAAGUUGGAAAUUCCAGAAUCUUGGAUUUGAAUUAGAAAACAAAAUAGCUUAUAUUAGUGAAUUAUACACCCAGAAGAAGCUCUAGUGUUAGUGUAGUCAUUAACAUACACUAAAUCUUCACCCUAGGGAAGAGAUCAACAAGUGCUCUUUUAUCUCUGAAUACCAUUUUGAAAGUGAACAAUGUUUUCAAUUUUCACUGAAGGAAACAUAAGUCACUAACGUUCACUAUUUUCUGCUAAUUCUCAUUCAAAUUUCAAACUAACAAAAUAGGGAAAGUUAAAAUGGUCCUCGAAAUAUGAUAUGAUGGACAGAGUUUUAAGGUUCUUGGGAAGAGAAGAGUAGACUGCAGCUCAUGUCUUACCUCAAGAAGAGGAAGUUUACUAAUUUUGAAAAGCUAUAUGGGGGAUAUGAGCAAGUUCAGGCAUUAUAUGGCAAGAGUACAGAACCAUCCAUUUAGAGAAUCUAUAGGUCAGAACUUAUAAUAAAAGCAAAUAAGCAAUUAGUGAAUGUAGGUUUCCCAGCCAAAAGGAGGACGCUGCUGAUUAAGGUGUUCCAAAACGAGAAUCAUCACUUGACAUUAAGUGGCAGCUGAAAGAUUGUUCUGCUUCCUUCACAUCUUUUUCUCUCUUCCCUAAUAAUCUAAUUCCCAACUUAAAGGAUCGAUAAUGUCAAGUUUCAACAAGGGUGUGGGAAAAGCAUUUUAAUUGAUGUCUAAAACGACAGUAUAAAAAUUGCAUUGUCAUGUAAUCACUCCCAGUCCAACCAAUCAAAAGCAAAUCAUGAAUGCUGAACAUACACAAUUUCAAGAACCAUAGCUCCAGUUUGUCUCAACUGUUGUAUCUCGAUGUUUGCUCUCUUGGCAGCAUCAUAAAAAAAACAAGAUAUAUUGAUUGUGUAUAUAUUUGAAAUCCUUUUAGAAAACAUAUUACAAAUAGUCCAAUGUUAAUGAAAACGUAAAUAAGAGGUUCUGCAAUAAGUUUAACAGUUGCACGAGGACACUAAUGCAGAGGCAAUCUGAUCCAAAUAUUCCCAUCGCCUGCCUAAAACCAGAUCCAGUAUGAGGCCCUAUUUAAGGAGUCAAGCCAUGCUCAUCAAUAAUAUCUCCUAAGUUUGCUUUCCUAGUUUACCACUAUUGUUAGAAUAUUAAUAACAAGGUCAGAUCUUUUGCUUUUCAAGAUACGUCAUGCAAGUGACUCAGCAUUACAUUCAAUUGGAAAACUGAGAUAAGCAUAGAGCUGAAUUGAUAGGAGGUAAAAUUACAAUAUACAAUGUGGAGCGCUUGAUAGAGAAUUUAAAUUUAGUUUCAUGGUGUGAUCAGGAGGUACCUUGCUUACACUGUCAGGACCAGAUUCAUAUGCAACUGGAGACUCUUCCUCUUUCUUCGCAUCAUCCUGUAAGAAAAUGAAAAUACAGAUACAACACUAUGUUAAUGUCAUCUGUGUAAGCUAUGAUAUAACCUCUCCAUAAAACUACGUUUGUGAAAGAAUAAAUCCCAUCUGUGAAGACCUCAUUCACCUCUUGUUCUUCAUUAUUUGAAACAUCUUCAUUUCCAGAAUUAUCAGUGGACUGUUCUCCCAUAUCCUAUCAGAAGCGAUAAAAUGUGAGAAACAAAAAAAAAAAAAAGGAAAAAACAUUUUUGCAGUUAAAGAGGAUCUUGAUCAUAAUCAUUCAGGGUUCACAGGCAAUGCUUGAUAUAAAGCAUUUUUAGAUAAAUUCCAAACACAGUAGGAAAUUCAGAGAAUAACAAUGACAAGGAUGCAUUAAAUAUCAUACAAAUACUCUUGCUCCUUAAAUAACACAUGAAUGUCCUCAAAAUUAUCAACAUACAUGAAAAUGUGUUUUGAUAGAUUUACAUGAACUAUUUAAAACAAUAAAAGGAAUCUAAGAAGAUGAACAGCGCUGAUCUAAUUCCAUUUUUUGGGAAAGUUUUGGAAAAAGGCAUUUAGACUGUUGGACAUUCUUCCCAGCUCACUAGUAUAUCCUACAGUUGAUGGUAUAAUAUUGAGCAUUGCCAGCGUGAUAAGAAAUUAGUCUCUCAAUAGCUAAUCCAUUAUAAUGUAGCGAUGGCCUUGCGGGGGCUUAUUUUGGCAUUGUUUGGAAGAAUGGGCAUUCCACAGAUGCGGCAGAGAUAAUGCUUGGAUAGCAGGGAGGUACGGUGGGAAAGCCGAAUGCUCAAUCCAUUUCAUUUCUGCAUGCCAGGAAUUUUCCCAACGCUAUUUUCUUUCUAAAUUCUACAGAAGAUAUUGAUGUGUUGGAGGAAGAGUAGUUUUGUUUGCUCCCAUUUACGUCCCAUAUACACAAGUUGCAUCCCUUUGCCACUUUUUUAUGAAUAUAUGCACAAACACAGAUUUACAUGAGCUACAUUUCAGCCAUCACUAAGAACCAGUUUAACCUGAUCUGAAGGAGAGUUCUCCAGGAGCCCAAUUUUAUCAUGGUUUUCACUUUCCAUUGGCUGUCCUUGGCUGGGAACUUCCUCCAUAGAUUUGCUUUUCUCCCUUUGAGCUUCCUCAGCUUCUUUCUUUUCCGUCUCUUCUUUUUCUUUCUGUAAGCGUUCUUUCUCCUCUGCUUUUUCUAUCUGUUCCUUAUGCUCUAUAUGGGUGAAGCAAAAAAUUCAGCGAUACAAAAAGUAAGCUUUACUAGAAAAAACUAAGAAAAAGACAAAAAAAAACAAAGAAAUAAAAUAACAAUAAGCAAAAGAAAACCAUCCAAAACAUCAUGUUGACUGUCAAUACACAAAAGUAAGGAAUAAGAAUAAAUAACAAGAAAUGAUUUGAUCAAUUAUGAGAUUAGUAACCGCGUAACGUGCAACAUUCUCACCUUCAGAACUGAAAGUGAAGUAGAUUUUGACCUUCAACAUGUUGGCAUUUUGAAGAAAUGUAAGAUCAAGAUUUUUAUACUUUCUUUGUAUUCAUGAAUACCAAUGUUAGUAAAUUGGAAAAUGGAAAGAAUCUAUUGAACAUUUGUCAUUUAUUUGUCAGUUCAGUGGAUGAAUGUAAACCGCUAGUAACAUUUAAAUUAUUUGCACUCUUCUACUACUAGGAACUCCUCCUUAGCUAUCUAGCAUAUAGGGUUGUCAUAUUUGUUUUGGAGGACUUAUAAAAUCUCAGGUUUUGGUAUUUUGAUGUUGACUCAUAGCUCAUGGAAUUCAAGGUCUGCUUAGAGAGUUGAGAUUUCACCUUGAUCAAAGUCUUAUGUCGGUCCAUCAUGGAAUUCAGAUCUGCAACUGGUUUAAAAGGUCAGAAGAACUCAAAGGAGUGUCACACCAAGGUUAAAGUUGCAUCGUAAUCCCAGAAAGAUUCGAAUGCUUCCCAAUAUUUUCUAAAACAUAAUUUGCAUGGGAUAGAAACCAUUGCACGGUAGAAUAUAGAAUAAUGUAUCCAAAACCAUAAAAUUUUCAACCUGUUCAAACACAUGGUAAUCUCUACAAGCCAAGAUCAGAUCAUUCCUAAAAUUAUGACGGGGUCUGUGUCCAGAGCUGAGUCUGGAUAUGUGCACCUAGAAGUGCUCUAAUAUCUAUGACUUGAAAAACUAAGAAAACACUUAAUAUAACUGCAUACUGACCUAUAAUAGAAUAUAAUAUAAGAAGCUACGAUCCUAUAACUCAAUUAUGCAAGGUCCCAAGUGGGAGCCCCUCAACAUCAAACCAUUUUCUGACAUGGCUAGCUUCUUUCAGUUCGUCUUGCACCUAGUAUGGAUUGCAUAACCCACAUAAGGCAUUUUUUAAGUACCGCGCACAUAUACAAAAACCGCCAUUGGAGAAUAUUAGUUCAAGGUUGGUACAAUGAACAAUUCCCCAUAAUGACUGAUUUCCACUUUUAAUCCAGCCCUCGAACAAAACUCAAAUAGACUCCAAAUGUGGUUGUCACCUUAACCAAAAAACUUAAAUGAGGACCAUAAAAAAAAAAAAUUGAUGAGGGUGAGCAAUGUAUGCACAUAAGACCAAAAAAUGAUACAUAACUCCUCCAGGGUGAAUGGAGCCUCAAAAAAUAUCACCGCUUGUGUGUGAUUUCUCAACAACAAAACCCCACACUGACAAUUCCACGUAUUCCCAAAUGAAGGCAUGAAAUAAGAACAAAGAUGUACUCCUAAACAGCACAAAACAUGAGGUCGAUCACUGACUACAUCCCUCAGGAUGCUAGCUUUUAGAAUCUCUAGCCAAGCGGGAUGUUUUUGAUUGUAGACCAUCAACUUCCUUUCACCAAAAUGCAGAUAAACAAUUUCAUUACAACUUCACACAGUCCUCAAACUAAAGAACAAUCAUCCAUAAAGGUGUAGUGGUGAUUGGUGAUUUACAAUAUCCAUAUUUAAUAGAAAAAAGUUAACCCAUUCUACAGUUGGAUACAAUAUAAUUGCAAAUGUGGCACAAGGGGUUCUUAAAUCACACAAGGGAAUCAAUCUUAAACCAAGUAUAUAAAAGCAUUUUUAAAGAGCACCACAAGACCCUAAGGAUGAGGAGGUUGUUAACCAAAUCCACCUGGUCCAAUCUGUAGGAUUAAUUAGUUCGUAAAUCACACAUCCUUGCACGACAUAAUUGAUUCAAAGGUUACUUGAGAACUUACCAUUAAAUCAUUGGUUUGGCGCCCCGUACAUGUGUAAAAUGUGGAACAUGGAUCAAGAAAUCUCUCAACAAAUGGGUGAAUUUGGAGCCAUUUCCUAUUGUCCAGUGCCACCAAAACUGUAAGCUCCAAGUCAUAAAUCAUUGUUAUUUUAAAGUUAUUCUGCAGUCUUCAAUUUUACGUAGCGUGCCAACUUUUGUAAAUAUCACUGAAUAUAGAUAAGAAAUGCAUAUUCGAAAACAGAAGUUUGAGGGACACCAAUUACUGGAUUUAUGUAGAUAAUGGCAAUGACAAUCAUAAUUGAACCCAGACAAACAAAUAAGGUUAGGGAACUGAAUCAACAAGAGCAUACCCUUAAGCUGUUGAACAAGCUCUUUAAGUAUUUUCUCCUCAUUUUUCAACUUGGACAACUCUGCCUCGUCUUUCGCUAUCGUUAGUUUUGCUUGUUCAAUCUCCUUCUUUCGCAAAGUUACUCCUUCCUGAUAAGUGCAAUCUUUUUCUUCAGCUUCUCUUGGCAAAUUUCCCAGCCUCCCAACAUGUAUUCGAGCACUUCACGUUACCAUUAUAAUCAUCAACCAUCACAGCAAUCUGCUACAUGGGGAAGCUAAAAAAUCAAAAUAUUGCAAGGCAAAAAACAUGAAAUGCACAAUAUGAUGAUAUUUGCAGUUAUAAAACUUAUUCAAAAGUUUGACAAAAUUUGUGAACCAAUAGGGGGAAACUUUUCAGUUUUCAACUUUUCACCAUUGUUAAUCUCAUUGCAAAAAGGAAACUUCACCCAGAUUGGUGCUGGAUGUGCAAGGCCUUUUGCAAUCAGAAGCAGUAGACCAACAUCCUUGUCCAUUAUAAAGUGAGUGGUGAAAAGUGGAACUCAUGCUGAAUAUGUUUAGGAGUAUCUUGGGCAUGGACGCAUGCAGGAUUUUAAUUUGGAUUAUAGAACCUACAAAUAACCAAACAUAAUAAUAUUACUAUGAUAACAGGUUAUUUUUAGAAUCUGGGAAAGUGUAUGCUCUCACCCCCCCACCCCUCCCCCGGCAGGGUCCCCAAUUAGAAACUUAGGGAAUGCUAAAAAUGCAUGCCCAUCGAUAUUUGGUGUGCUACCUAGAGACCAUGAUGUGUAUAUAGAUGUAUAUAAAAUAUAACAUAUUGGGAUUAAUUCUGAGGUAGGAAGGAUCAUUGCCAAUGCAUCUUCACGAAAAUCAUAUAUACCAAAAUUUUCAGCAGCUGUCCUGCUUAACAAGCAUCCGUCAAAUAUAUCAACAAAUAAUACACGCACAAAAAAGCGACUAAUCAGAGGUGAUUUAACUGAAAAGAAUGCAACUGAAAAAGAUUUUUCUUACCACAUAUACCAUCAUUAACUCUGGAAGAAUAUAUAGAAAGUGGAGCAUGGCCUGCAUUGCGGCAAUAGAACUUCCCAUUGGGGCAUGCUGAUGUUCCUGUAAGGCCAAGCACCACAACAAUAAGUCAAACAAACAAACAAAGAGCACAUAUAAAACUCAUACUUUGAAGGCAAAUAAAUAACUAUCAGAUAAACCGACAACCAGGAAAGAAAAAAAGAGUCAAAAUGGCACCAAAACCACAAAAUUAGAAAAAGGAAAAAGAAAAAGAGACCCUAUUUUCUUCCUAUUUUUUGAAGACCCACAUACUUUUUUGACAAGCAAAUGAAAUGCGACUAAAAAGUAGCGCAACAAAGAUUAUUUUGUAGUAAAAUAACAACACUAAGACAGUAUUUGGAUCAAGUAUUCUCCCUCCACGAAUCCUUGCUCCAAACACAGCCUAAAAAUGAAGGGGAUAAAUGAGGUCGGAAGGAGAAAGAGUAGACCGGGCUCAUCAGUGCCGUCAGGGCAAUCGCAGAAGUCAUCAUUCAGCUGAGAUUUGGUGAAUUUCAUGGAUCCAUCCCUGCAUUUGAUAGUUCCCGACGAUGAUGCCUUGUAAUAUAUCUCAUCUGCUACAUCCAUCCAUGUCAACAAGUUCAAAAAAAAUAAAUCAAAAUUCAACACGAUAUACAUAUGUAUAUGCAUAAGUAUAAUCAAAAAGGAGGGAAAAAGAAAAAGAAAAAGAAAAAGAAGGGAAAAACCAAACGCAAACCUUGGGAGCGAUUCCGCGUAUUUUGUCCUUUUGGAGGUGAACAGAAGCUGAUCUACUAGAUCAAUUUAUGCCAUUUACAUUUAUUUUUUUGAAUGAAGAGGAAAGUUAAUCUCCGCUUCAUCUUCUGACCAAUCCAAUUACCCUAUACUAAUUUAGUAGUUAUUCGAAAUGCUGAUGAUCAUAAAUCACAAUACACAAAUUCAAUUCUAUUCGCUUGGAUACGAUACGAUAUGAUUAUCAAGCACAUAUCCAAACAAAUUCGCAUCAGUGCUGAACAAUACAAAUAUUGUACUCGGGGGAAAAACGAAGCCAACUGGUGAGAGAGAGAGGCAGCUAAAAUCGACGCCCCACAAGAUCAAAGGUUUUUAGCGUGGGAGUCUGAGGGAUGAGACGGCGAUUCGCACAAAGUUAGAAACGACGACGUCAAUAUAUUACGUUUUGUCAACGACGUCGUCUCAACUUUUUUUUUUCUUUCUUUCUUUCUUUUUUGGGUAAAUUUCAUUUACACAGUUUCCAUAAUAACUUUUUCUAUAAUUUUUGAAAAUCUCUUUUCUUUUUAAAAUUCUUAUUAAAAUUCUUACAAAACUAAAUAUUUUUUAAAAAUAAUAAAAUUACGGACUUUCAUAUUUUUUUCUCAACACAUUUUUAAUUUAUUAUUUUCUUUUGUAAUAAAUACUAAUUUUUUUUUUGAUAAAUGACACUGACCUCACCUGAGGUUUAUGACAAUGACAGGAACUAACCUCAGGUUUUGAAAAUAACAAUAACCUCCCUUAUAAGUAAUAAUUUAGUUGUCGUUAUUAGUUUUUCCCUUCUGGUAGUAUACCGUUACUUACAUUGACAGAAAUUGCUGAGAUGAGAUAACUAAAUUCAUACAAUACCCAUUUUACCCUUAAGAAUUUGGUUCUUCUAAUGUUAUGUAAAAAUGUCCAUAAAACUAGCCACCUAAGAUAGAAUUCUCCACUAGAUAUCCGUUGCACUCUUUUCUUUCCUUGUGCCAAUUCUAUUUUUAAGAAAUUUUGUUUUUCUCUUUCUUUUUUUUUAAUCUCCAUCCUUAUUCAUAUUUUUUUUACAUAUGCACCAUAAUUUGUGCACUACAGCUCACCUUGUAAUACUAACACAACUCUUUAAGCUAGCUUGUUUUUAGCUAAUUUAAUUGUCAUGUUUUUAAAAAAUUUCACUAUUAAUGAAAAUUUUAUACUUUUUCAUACGAGAAAAUUUGGUAACAUAAAAAUAUUAUUCAAAUUUAAAAAACAAUUAUACUAUUGGCAAGAAAUUAAACUUAUAUGUUGAAUAAAAAUAUUUUUUUUUACUUUAAACUUUUGUUCUAAUUAGAUAAAAAAAAUUACAUUUUAGAAUUCUCUCGUAAACAAGAAUUGAAAAAAUAUAAAAUUUUGAACGAUUAAAAAAGUUUACUAAAUAAAAUAAAUCAAAAUCAAAUAAACUAAAUUUAACUAGAAAAAACUAACCCAAACAAGCCGCAAUCCAACUCUCUCAUACUUAUAUGACGUGCAAAAAUAAACCAAUUUAAUAAUUAAUCCUAGAAAAAUUACUACCAAGUUUAGUGCCAUUUUCUAACAUGAUAACAUCCAUACACAUGGCCAUGGGCCCAUUACCCUUCCCACUCUCUCUUUCACUCUCACUCAUCAGUUGGAAAAUUCACAACGUAACCUAGCCCAAGCCCAAGCCCAAGCCCAAGCCCCUACACCUGCAAUGUUCUAACUCUUGCUCAAACACAAAAAAAUUCGAUUUCUCUUUCCACUUUGGUCUUCCGAAAUCCAAUUACGUCAUGAGGCCUGAACAAGAAACCCUCUCACCCAAUUGAAUGAAGAAAUUUGUCAGAAAAGUUAAAUAAAACCUAAUCAAUAAACCCUAGGAAAAAUUAUUCAACAAGGAACCCGCCCACCAACUACCAUCGUCGUUGAGCACCACUACACUAAAUAAUUGACAAUGGUGGGGCCGGUGUACUGUGGGAAUUGGAUUUGGUGGUAGGGUUUUGUGAUUUGAAGAGAGAUUGAGGUGGUGAUAAUUGGUGGUUUUAGCAUGCUUGAAUGGAGGGGGUUGGCUGUUAGCACUCUGCGGGUGACCGGAGAAGAAUGGCUAUGGUAGCCGACUGCAUGGGCUUCUCUCUUCAUCCUUUGGUUCCCUCUCUUUAUCUUCUAUUGUAUUUGACAUUUUUCAAACAAGGCUUUAUUGUUGUUGCCUAUACAAAAAAGACACAAAGAUCAUUUGUACAGAUUUCAUAAGGGUAGAAACUUAAAAUUAAGACUUCUGUUAACGGAGAGGUUAGUGUCAUUUUCAAAACUUGAGGAGAUGUUAUCAGAGUGCUUGCAAUAAUCUCCGUUAUAAUUAUGUUCCUACUUCCAAAAAUGGCCACUUUAGCUAGCAUUCAAAGAUGGCCACAAAUUCAAAACAAUUUUCUUCCUACCUUAUACACAAAAAGGUUGCUUUCGCAAUCACCAAUUUCAUGUUGAAUGAGAGGUUGUCUGAUAUCCCUAAGUUUAAAAAUAUUUUUGAAUUACUCAUAUACCACAAAACAUAUACUUGCUUUAUUUCGUAACAUAAAAGGAAAAAAAAAAAAGAAAAGAAAAGAAUAAGAUAAAAUAGCGAUCCUUUCGUAUCCGAAUUUGAUUUCAAGUUGUGACAAAUAUUAGUUAGAUGCCCAAGCUCUUCAUUCCGAAUGCAAACCCAUGCAGGGAAACACACAAACAAUGGAGUAGUCCCUAAACUGUUCAAUGUUAGCUUAGCUGCUUGAUGACUUCACCACCUUCUGUAAAGAUCGAUCCGUCCACAACAGAAUCAAAAGGUGGGAAAACUUUGAAGCUAACCAAGUGGAGUAUUUAAAAUCAUACAAGAAACAAGCCCAACCUCGACAGCAUAGUUAGCAGCAAGCAGGUAAAAACAAUGAGUACGUACACAGAAAACUUCUGAUUGAUUUAAGUAAUUCAAGACAUAGAUAGGGCUUCAAGGAAUACAGUGGAAGGGGGGGUCUCGGACCCCAAGGAACAUGACCAAAAGAAAGAGAGAGAUUACAGACUGCAGAAUGAAGCACAAAUAUCAGGAGAAGAAUAUAUCAGAUAGGUCCAAUUUGACUUGGGUUAGUGAAAAACUAAACCUAAAUAGUAACUCUGAUGAUCAUAGCAAAUCUCCAUAUUCCAAACAGCAUGACUUGCAUGGUUUUAUGCGGCACUAAGGAGGAGAUCAGAACUAGAUGAUAGGAUCUACUAUCCUGUUGCAGCCAAAUAUCAUUCAGAAUGAAUGCAUAAAUCAAUUACAGGUCCAUGACAACUAAGAAUUAAGUGAAUUCAUUUUAAACUGGCAUCAGAUCUUAUUAUUCAGAGCUGUAAGGCAUGCAAGGACAGAUAUAGGACAUACAAUAAAAAACAGGCGCCCGAAAUCAAACCUACUUUUAAACAAAGAAUAAAAUAAAAUAAAAAAUCAAAUCUAUAGUGGCUAGGAACAGGACAGGAAUUCCUCUUUGUAUGAACAUAGCUUACUGAAAAAGUGGUUAAAGAGACUUCCUAUAACGCCACAUGAAUUCUGUGUUAAAAACUUGGAAGGUUGAAAUAACAAGAGAAAAUGAUACUAGUGGAAGCUCUGAUCAAACUUCUUAAAUAGUAAUAUUAGAAAACGAAUGGGCAACGCCUUAUGAUAAGUGCUGUGGUGCGAAACAGUGGAUUAAAUCUGGUCCACAGCAAACUCGUUUAGUAGUUUGAACCGCCAGCAUAGCUUAAAACAGAGAUCAAAUUACCACAAGAAUUUACAAAGCCAACAUCCUGGUAAAAUCUAGAGCAAUCCGAGAGGAUGCCAGUACAAGCACACUUCAAUUUCCCAAGUCAGUUUCUAAACAACAAUUAAUGCAUCUUCAUCCUAAAUUCCUAACAUUGCAAUGUCAAACGUCAAUAUGAGACAACCCAUUCAUAUUUCCCUCAGCUUCCUAAUAAGAAGCGCCGACACGUCUAAGAAUUGUUAGACAUGCCAACAAGUUGCGUUGUUUAUAGAAUUUUCAGGAGCAGACAACCCUUCGGGCACUAGGGAGACGAGCUUUUACUGUGGGGACAUACAUGGAAUGCAUACGAAUUUUCGUACAAGUUUGAAAAAAGUAACUUGCAUGUGAAUUUCUACUUGUAAAUCCCCUUUCCCUACAAGUUUUUUAAGUGUAAAACCCUAAAGCCUAAAACAUUCAGUUUGCUUGGAAUACAGCUUGUUAAGAAAGGGUAUUAGGUGUUUUUCGUUCGCACUUGUUUUUCAUCAUAGCAAAUUUGCAAAUGAUGUCUUAUAUAAAUGUGCUAGUUUUUUGGUCCCAUUCCUGCUGCGAAGUAUGAUCAUUUGAAAAUUGCACAGUCAGCGUGUUAAAAUUGCAGAAUGUUCCCAUAUCACAAGUCCCAUUUCAAUUGGUUAUAAUGUAAAGUAAGAGCCAUACCUAUAUCAAAAUAAUUAACCUCUAAUGUCAGCCAUAAAAAAAAGGGAGAAAUAUGAUAAGUUAUUUUGUUAUUGCAUGCGCAUGAGAAAUAAUUUAUCAACAAGAAUCUCACAAAGAGGUAAUAGCAACAUUAUGAAAACAAAGUUGCCACUUUGACUCUCAGUUCGUAGUCGUAUUUUUAUGUCACUCAUGCCUCAAGCCAUCUGUGCCUAAAGAUGAGAUAAUAAGAUCACCAAUGAUUCUUCCAGUUGGAAAAUGUGUAACCAAAUCUGCUAAUAGCAAUCAUUUCCAACAAAAAUCAACUUACCAAGCAACAACUUCAGUCCUAUUGAACCAUUACUUCAAACAAAGCAGUUGGACUUUCUUAAGACUACCCAAGCUUCUCACCUCAAGUCCAACAGUAAUAGAAGGAUGAAAGGAACACUUGCAGUUUGCACCAAACAGGUUGAAUACAAUCAGUGAUUGUGAAUCGUAUAUAUCACCCAUGGCAAAAGAUUCAUGCAAUAGACAAGAGAGAAACUAAGCAGAGCUCCUUAGAAAAUUUAAUCAGCGUAAUCAGCAGUAGAUUAGAAGAAUAAGAUUGCUCCUGAAAUGUGAUUAUUACUAUAUUUAGUGGAUGUUCACUUAUUCUGUAAACUCAAGAGUCAAGAGACAGUUUCGUGAUAUCAACAAGUACCUCAAACUUUUCUUGUGAAGGAAAUUAAAAAAACACAAGGGGAGGGGGAGGAAAACCUAGUUUAUUAUUGAUUCUGCAGGACCUCUUAGGGACAAAAAAAAAAAAAGACAAGGAGAAAGGAAGGGAGAAAAAAGGGAUGAGAACGAUGAGAAAAGUACGCCGUGGAGAGGUGCCAUUCUUUAACUCUGCCUUCCAAUUCCUUGAUCCUCCCCAAGCUCCAAUGGUUCACCCCGUAAGCAGAUGAUGGGCAUCGGAAGCAAGUACUUCACACACUCUUCUGUUCAAGAGGGAUAUCGAACUCAACUGCCUUACGCAGCCCCUUGGCAGUAAGGCUUCCCGCAUUUUAUUGAUUGAUAUACAGGAAAUUCCCAUAUCGCCAAUUGUAGCAAUAUAAGGUGCAUUGAAAAACAAUCAAAACCGACACAACCAAAAAACAGGCGCAUUACGUUACCACCUCCACAAGGAGAUCACAAAUUGUAGGAAGAAACAAGAAACUUCAUGGACGACAAUUUUCAGGAUGGAACGGUCAAAGAAGCCCACUGCUUCCAAGUACCAAAAGCAACAGAACUACAUCAACAGAGGCUAACGGGACUGCUCGCAAAAAGGGUGAGCUAAAGUAUUCGUUUGCUCUCUUGGUUGCGCCACGAGAGUGAGAUGUGGCGACGAAUUGACACAUGUUUGAUGCUGCUCGAAAAGCUUUGCAAAAACUCGAUAUCAACUACUGGCAGUCAACCAUGGAAGGUCUCAUUAUAUUCGGAUGAGUAUUCGGCUUGCUGUUGUUCCAGAUAAUGAAAAAAAAAAUAGGUUGAUCCCAAUCAGUUCAAUAUAUCUAUAAGCCUAUAAUGUUUAAAUCAUAUCCAAGAUUCUAUUUCAAUUCAGCAGAUCUGAAAACAGGAUUGGGGAUUUCAAUCAACUGACGAAAAUCACCAAGACAAACCCCCAGGUUUAGCAUAGGAACGUCGAAUGAGGAUAAGGGAAUUUCAGUAGGACGUUAGGUUCAUCCAUCCUACCCAACCAGCGAACAAAUCAAUUCCUAAUUUAGGAACUAAAUUGAGAAGUGACGAACUAGAUCAAAGGAUUUUAGCAUUUCGUUCGGAACCUGCAGAAAUCAAGCAAUGAAAUCACGAAAAUCCCUUAAAUGACAGCAAUUUUUGGCAUAAACGAAUCGAUUGAGUUCCCAAUCGAUCGAUCCAGAACUACCGAGAUAGGCAAAUCAAUGUGAAAACUUGAAAACCGGACUGCGAAGAACUAAUCAAUUAAGCAGUUAGAAGAUCAAGCAGUGCGAACUAACCAAUUUAGCUCUAAUCGGUCGACGAUCCAUCUAAAUUCAGAAAUGAUUCGAGGAAGUAGUAAUUAAAUUAAGCUGUAUUCGAAUAGGAUCCACGAUCGAGUAUAAAUCCUGAAAUUGGAAAGAACAGACUCAAUUGAUUUCUGAUGACGGAGAACUCAGAAGCUGAUAUAGGGAGGCGGAUUGGGGGAGGAGAGAGGAGAAACGUAAACGAUGGGGGAAAUGAAAGAUAUUCACCGUAACGGAAAGGGGGUAGACGUCUAUUGUGAUUCUACAGCACGAUAUUAUAUUAAAGGACAACGUGUGGGCCGUUUGUUGAAUUCGGGAGGAUAGUUUAGUUCUGAAGCAGAUCGGCCGAUUCAACGCCAUCAGACAAGGACCUGAACGGCUCCGUCGCCUCACCGACCACGUUUCUACCCAACUCCUCUCUCUCUCUCUCUCUCUCUUAUGAGUAAGUUAUGCGAUUCCGUUUUCUGUAAUUUUUACUGAAAGGAGAAAAUAUUUCAGGGAGACGACCCCCUCUGUAGAAUCCCUGGGCAGUCAUUUCCCUAUCGUUUGCUUCCACUGAUUUUGUUCGAGAUUGAUCUAGAAUUUUAGGUAAGGAGGCUAAAGUAUAAUUAAUAUAUCUUAGAAUGUGAAAGUAAAAAAAUAAUAAUAAUUUAAAAUAAAAUUUAUAAUUUUUUUAAAGUGAGUGUACUGUAAUCCUGCUAAUCAAAGAUAUUUAGGUCAGGAUUUUUUUUAUUUCUUAUAUAGUCAUCUACUCAUCUACUUUCUACGCCCCUUUCACCUAGUUUUUAUCACUCUUCUUUGUACAUCCCUCACUUAACUCUAUUAUCCAUCUAAUUUCUCACUACACACUCCAACAUUUAUUUUUACCAAUACCUUAGUCUAUAAAUAAGAUAAAUUGAACUCCGAAGAUUCAAUUUCUCCUUAGUAAAUUCUACCAUGAGAGAGAAAGAAGGAGAAGAGUAGAGAGACAAAGAAGAAGACUAAGGGAGAGAGAGAUGGAGAAGAUUAGAGAGAGAGAAAAAUGAGGAGGAAGAAGGCUCCACCUACCUCACCCACACUUGUACUUGUAUUCUCAUAUUCUAAUUUCUAGGCUUUUAGGUAAAAAUACUUGAACUUGAACUUUACUCUAUGCUCCCUUUCUUACUUAUUUUUAAUCUCUCAAGAAUAGGAUGCAUGCUAGAUGAUUAUGAGCUUAAUUUGAGUUUAUAUGGUUAAUUUUCAUGCUAUAUUGUGUUUCUAUCCAUUUCUUUUGUAUAUGCUACUUUUAGGCUUAUAUAUGAAUAUGCAUAGACUGAUAUUGUUUGCUAUGAUCAUCCAUCUAUGUGUUAGAAGCAUGCUUGCAGUUUGCAUGUAAGUUUUAUAGCCUUAUAUGGUAUGUACACUUCAUGUAUGCAAAACUGUCAAAACUCCACUAUUUUUUUUCUCAUAUUGUACAUUUCAAAAUAAAUAUCAAAUCUGAACUAUUUCUCAUGAUCUUUGAAUUGAGUCUUGCUUUAUAUCUCUAUUGCAUGUGUGAAUUUUCGUAGAGUUUAUAGAGUCCAUUUGGUAUUUUAUUUUUUAUAUUUUUCACAUCAUUGUUAAAGUCAUACCAGAAUCUGUUGCAAACAACUUAAUAUCACCAUUUAUUCUAUUAAACUAAUUUUUAAGUUAAAAUACUUCUAAACAUUAGAUACAUGUGUUAUAUUUCAUAUAAAAUUAGUUUGAAGUAUUUUGAGUAAUAAACGAGUGAGAUAUGAUAUUUUUUGUAAAUUAUGUCAGAUUUGGAUAUCAUAAGGGUAUUUUUGAUAUUUAUUUUAAAAGUUAUUUUCAUAAGUGGUUAUUGGAAAAAAAACCUUAUCUAAUUAUUAAACACUUAUGUAUAGUUUAUAAUUUUUUAAUAAAUCUAAGUAUGAUUUUUCAUUUUUUAUUUGAAGAUGUACCUUACUAAAAAUUUAGUAUAGAUUUAUAAAGUUGCGCUAGUUAGUGAUUUUUUUGUUUCUUAGGCCCUAUACUUGUGAUGUUAUUGCAUCCAUGUGAUUUAGUGAUUACUUGUCACGACCCGACUCAUUAUACACUGGGUCCCACCAAUAAUACAGGUGUCACGUGACCGGCCAGUGAACUCCAUCUCAAUAAGGCCUUUCAACCGAUUCAGUUUAGGGAUUUACUAACAUAUUCAACAUACAUUGCUUGAAUGAAAUAAGCGGAAGAUCCAAAUAAAAACAGAGCUGACGUGUUCAAUAUAAAACUAUUGUCAUGGUUUCGAUUUACAAAAACCCAACACGGUUCUGCCCACAAACCGUACAACCGUAAACUACUACUGUAUCAGUUUUUUAACUAUACAAUUCCAACUAUUACAGAGUUCAAAACAUAAAAGUUCUUAUACAUAUCAGGACAGUACAGGACUAUCAAAAAACUCGGUUACACUAAGGGCACCUGACCCUCAGUCGCGCAUCCCUCAUUUCAUCACAUGAAAUGAGUUACGUCGACAACGUCUUAAGCCACUAGGCUAUGUGAGUCAGGUUAUAUAAAAACAUACAUGCACCCAUGAAGAAUAUUAUGAAAAUCAGGUUCAUUUAACAAACCAAAAAAACUAGAAAAUGAAACCACUUGUGUCAAUCCAUGGCUCCCCUAGGCCAUCCUUGACUCUCAGUCAAGAUACAUAUAAAAUCAAUCCCUCGCGGAAAAUUCAUGGUCAGGUACGGCAACUAUUACAUCAAGUUUUACAUUUCAUUACGAUUGACAAUUUGCGCACACAACGUACACGAACACCAGAACAUAGGGAGCGGAACAAUAAAACCUUUGGUAUGAAUUCAUCCCACAAUCAUCUGGUCAUGAUCUCCUUAUUACAUCAACCACCGCUAUAUUCUCCCCCUAGUGCACGGGGCAUCGUAUGAAACUAUGUGUCGACUUCAACACAUACAUUUCGCAAAUUAUCAUUUUCAUAAUGUUCAUGGUAUAUCAAAACAAGCAUACUUUUAACCAUAAAACAAUCAGUUUAAACACAAGAAAUGCUUCAGAACAUUAAAACAGUACUUGUAUGCUAUGUACUACUAACAAGAUAAUCGAGAAUAUGCUCAAUUUUUCUUUCACACACGCAAGCGAACGUUCUGAAUACACGUUCCUGGAUUUGGGUCCUCGUUUAAUAUUUUUCGAAUGUAAGAUUAAUAUCCUCCUUGCGGCAAAAAUUUAACAAUUCGAAUUUUCUUUGCCAAACAGUUUAAAAAUUUUCCAAAAACAGCCAUUCGGUAAUUUAUUUUAUAAAACUCAUCAUAUAAUUGACCUCCGAAUUAAUAAGAAUAUACUAGACACAUUUAGUACUUACAAUAAAAAUAUCAUAAAAAUUUUAAGUUGGAUAACUAUUUUCAAAAUUCGCCAAAACUUCCCCAGUUCUUGUUUAGAUUUUCAGUGACAGUAGCUCAGUUAUAAAAUUAUUCUACCUAUCGAAACCAUUUUAGAAAUUCGAUGAAAUGAAAUAUACAAUAACUAGACAUAUUUAAUUGUAUACAUAUAAAAUUUUCAUAAUUUUUCUAACAGGAGUAACUAUUUUUUUACAAAAUUCGUAAAAUUUUCUAUUUCAACUUUAAUUCCAGUUUCGACAGUCAGUUUGCAGGUCGAUUUUGGAUCAUUUAAGUUUGGAAUUUCACAAACUGUUGUAAAUUAAAGUUUUUAGAUAAUUUCAAUAUCUUUCUAAACUAAAUUUAAACAAGGAAUUCGGAAUCGUAUGAAAAAAGUUAGAAUCAAAAACCGAGGCUUGUGUGUCAGUGACAAAAACAAAUUCCGAGUAGUCCAAAUUUUAAAUUUUAAAAUUUCGUAUAAAUGCCUAAAUUUUGAGGUAUUUAGCGAGUUUAAAAUGAACUAGCUCGGUGUUAUAUAAUAAGACUUAAAGAAAUAAAUAAGAUUAAAUUUGAAAUUACCGGCGAAAAACAAUAACCGGCCCCUUAGUGUUUUCUCUCACCUUUUCUUUCUUCCUAUUUCUCUUACUUUCCUUUCUUUCUAUGUUUCUGUUUGCGUGGGAUGGAGAUGGAAGAGCUGCUGGCAUCUUUUAUACUUUGAAGUUUGAUAUUUAUGUUUUUGGCCUUAUUAGGCUUCUUCACAUGCACCCCAACACACAAUGCAUGCCGCACACACACACGGACAAAGACACCCAUCCUCCCAUGCGUGGUGACACGCGUCACCACGUGUCUCCAUGUCCGCACCCCAUCGUGUCCCACCACGUGUUUGAAUAUCGGUCCCCAAAAAAAAAUUUUUUUUCUUUCAAAUUUUAAACUCGACGACAAAUAUAGUUAUAUUUAAAUUAUGUAAUAUUUAUUUUUGCGGUUCGGAGUAUUACAUUACUAGAUGACAUUGGAAUGUUAAUAUCGACGUAUGCUCCAUAAGUCUCGAAUAUGUAUAUUAUGACGUUUGCUUUUUAUUCAUAAACAUAGGGUUUCACCAGAGUUGGUAUGUGGUUGCGAUCACCUAGCUCUAGACUUUAACUAAGUAAAAUAGUUUGAGAUGAUGAGAUCAUGAUGAAAUGAGUAUUUAGGUUGUGUCUCUAGUGGAAAGUCUUGCGCAAGUAGUCUACACGCCCUCGUGAGUUGGCAUGAGCCGAUAAUUUGGGACUUAUUUGAUAUUAUUUGAUUUUCGAACUAGUAAGGUUGAUUCCAGUCUGAUCCCCUUGUGGCGGACUAGGGAUGAUACCAUUUGGGUAUUUAACGCUAUGCGAGGGGCAUCCUUUAGUAUUUUGAGAUUUUACUUUAGUCACUCUAGGGUUCUCCCCAUGGAGUACCACUCCUAAUCCAAAGCGCUACUAUAUUAAAUAAUGGAAUCGUCUUUCUAUCAUUGUUUUGCAUCUGCACGCUACUAUAUUAUUUUUUUGUAUGUGUUGUUGUUGCUUUGGAGUUGUUGAGUUGAGUUUCGUAGGUUUUUGUUUUUGUAGUGUGCUUCGCAGGUCAUAGCAUUUUAUGCUAGGUUUAGAUGAGGACGAUGAAGCCAGAAGGUGAUGCUGCUGCUGAUGACUUUGUGGCUUAAGGCUUGGUCUUUUGUUAACUUUAUUGUGGUUAUUGGUUCUGUAAUAUUAUGAAACCUAUUUUUGUACUUGGUUCUAUAAUUACUUUUAUAUUAUAUUGUUUUUAGUUAUUUGAUCUUCCAAAAUUUCGGUGCGUCACAUGUUUUGUUAAAUAAGCCGUUGAAUAAUCAAGUUUUGUUGCCUUCCACCCCUCAAGUUAUACAGCCUUUGCCAACGAUCUGGGAAGAGAGCUCUGGUGUGACGAGGGCAAGGCGCCGCAUGAUAGGAGUUGCAUGGGGGUGGUGAAAUUGUACAGUCGACUACAACUCUUGCUUUAGAUUUGUUUUGAUUUAGACGGGGAAAGACAGGGAGGGGCGUCAAAAGCAGAAAAUAACCAAGGACAAUUUGGCUAGGCAAAAAAUAGACGACAACGCAUGCUUUGCCUUUGCAAUCGGGAGUCCCUAAGUCACCGAUUCGUAAAGCGUGAGCGUGAGCGCGGGCGAAAACGGGAGAGCAUCCAAUUUUAAAAGCUCUACUAUUGAGAGCGUCGUGAGAGCGUUCAUUACAUAAUAAAAAUAUAUGUAUAUAUAAAUUUAUUUAUAACACAAAAAAUAUAUUAUAUUACUUUUAGUGAAUUAAUAAUAAAUAUAUUUACAAUUAACUAAUUGAAUUAUAGAUGCAAUGUUUAUAUACUUUUAUACUAUAAGUAUUUAUUUUAGAUAUGAUCGGUGACAUUUAUUUACAUGCAAUGUUGUGGGCUUACAGAGAACAAAUUUGGGUUCAAAUAGCAUCACCCAGAAAACCACUUAAAACCAAAAAUAAAAAAAUAACUCGUUUCCCUUUUUAUAAAAGGAAAAUAAUUGUUUUAAAUUGGCUCUCUCUCUCUCGAUACUUCUCUGUUGUCUCCGUUCUCCUUGCGUCUUCGUCGUCGCCUCCUCUCGCAGAUCACCCAUCGUCAAAUCACCACAAUCUAAGCAAAAAGAUAUGAGUAACCAAGCUGAAUCCUCCGACUCGUGAGUCGUGAGUGCUUCGACUGCGAAAGUCAUCUUAACGAUUCGAGAUUUGGGUUUGACUGUGGAAUUUUUUCAGGAAAGGGGUGAAGAAGGACUUCUCGACGGCGAUCUUAGAGCCCUAGAAGUCGCCCAAUCGGCUCGUCGUCGACAAGGCCGUCAACGAUAACUUUACUCAAAUUCGUUUGUAGUACGCGAAUUGAGUUAUUGUAAUUCGCGAAUUUUGUACGAAUUACAUCCUAAUUCGUUAAUUCGCGCUCGAAAGCGCAGUUCGUAGGCCUCAUCAGGCGGAUUAUGUGACUGAUUCGGGACCAGUAGGAGGAGGAUUCAAAGUUAAAAAAAAAUUCAACUGCGGUGUUUGGUUUUUGUUUUUAUUUUCUUUACUAAAUGAUUGUCGAUGAAAUAGGAAACAAAUAAAAAAAAAUUUUGAUUUUUACAUUCUAUUUCUUAUAUUUUAAAAUUUAUUUUUACUAAAUAAAAUUAUUAAAAAUAAUUUUUUUAUAUUGAAUUUUGAGAGUAUUUUUAUAAUUUUAUAUAAUAAAAAUAAAAUUUGCAGUGUGAAAUAUAAAAAAAGGAGCGUAGAAAUCAAAACAAAAAAAAAGAAGAGAUUUUCAUGUAAAAUUUAUGCCGAUGUUUAUUCAUAGACACGUAAAUGAAAAACAAUAUGAAAAGAAAACGGAAUAAUGAAAGCUUUGGAAUGCAUACGUCGUCGUAGCAAUGAAAUAUCCAAGAUAAGAGAGAGAGAGGGGUCCAGACCAGAGAGAGCCACCGGUUUUAAGAGCUCACAAAAAAAAUGGAGGCAACCAGCUCUUGGCGGAGGCCGUAUGUUCAUAGACGACACUUGAUCUUACAAGAGUUCGUUUCGAAUUCUUCUCCUCCUGGAAGAUUCCGAUGGGUGGGUUUCCUCCCUCAAAGACGCUCAUUUCCCCGAAGCCCCACACUUCGUGUUUCCACUCUUGCCCUCGAGGAACUCAUGGAAAACCCUCCCCAAGCUCUCGCAUCGUCUCCCAAAGAUUCGUUGCCCAAAAUCGACAAGAGUGGCAGGUUUUGCAGCCCCAGAGCCGCCCGAGAACUCGCUCUGUAUCUCUCUCUCUCUCUCUCUCAUUGCCCCGUUUUCCCCCAUUCCCCGCCUCCCUUUCUAGAAAUUCAGGGCAUCUCCAAUUCUUCACCCCAUAUUUCGUCAACUUAAAAUUAAAUUUGAUCUCCAUGUUUCGUUCACUUUUACUCAAAUUGGAAGAAAUUUUAAAAAGAGCAAGCAUUGGAGGGAGUCUAAUUUCGUAAAAAAUGGAGAGGGUUUAGGGAUAAGUUGGGAAUUUUGUGAGAAGAUUUUAGGAGGAAAAAAAAGAUGGAGAGAGUAAGGAUUAAAAUGCACCCUAUCAAUUCAAGAUUUUCACCAAAAAUUGACUCAAAUUUCAUGAAAGAAAAGAGAGAGAGAGAGAGGAUUGUAGAUGGCCUAACCCUGUGGUGAAUUAAGCUUCUGGGAUAUGUAUGGAAUUUUUUAAAAAACAUUUGAUGAAAUAUCUAAAAGAGUAAGGAUUGGAGCAUUUCUUUCUUUCAAAAAAAAUGGUUAAAGUGACAUUUUGGAUUGGAGAUGGCCUUCUAUACAUAUGUAUAUGUGUGCAAAGAGGGUCCUAUUUUGUGUUAAAUUUGGUCAAAUUCGAUGUCAGGUUAAUUACUUAUGCGGCCUGUUUAGAGGGUUCUGAUCCAGUUCGGCUAUUCGAGAAGCGAAUGAAUGCCCGAAGAGGUCACACAAUGCCUAUGCUUUUGUCGCAAUUUCAAUUAUUGGUAGCUAUAUGGAAUUAACGUUUUGUUUUCUAAACUGCAUUUGAGUGUAUUUGAAGUGGAUGGUUAUUUGAUUGCAGAACCUGGAUACGAGUUUGACAAGACAUUGUUAACGAAAUACAAUCACAUGAGCUUCGGAGGUCCACCUGUCACAGUAGAGACAGUUGAAGAAGCCGAUGAGCUCAUGCGCAAUGAGGACAAGGAAUCUGCAAUUGGUAAACAUCCAAAGUUCCAAUACUCAUAUUUUUUGUUAAGUGUACCAAGGCUUCUCUUUUACCAAUUGGAUAUACUUAUACUUGGAAAUGGUUAUGAACUGUUAAGUGGUAAAUAAUAUAUUUAGUUCAUGUACUUUUACAUUUAGAAAUCAUGCUAUCGAGUUCAUACACUUUCAAUAACUUCUGUGGAUCCCUUUUCAUUUAGAUAUCUCCAGGUCCAUCUUAUUUCUACUAUAUGCAUUUUAGAAGAAAUUAUAACGUUAUUGAAUUUUCUAUUUCUCAAGUUUGAUGUUUUGUUACAGUGGUUCAUGCAUUUGUGAUGCUCUUGUGAAUCUUGACCACACUGUGGUCGCUAUACUUGUCCUUCAAUUUUGCUUGAUGUGUACAUUAUAGUUCUGAGAAUAGUUUCACUAUAUUCUUUGCAUUAUUUAUUGAUGUCUGUGUAAUAAACAUAUACCUUGGACCAUCACGAGAUUUUGAAACUGGAAUUAGUAGACACUAGGUGGAAUAAGUAUAACCUUGCAUAUGUGCAGCGGCAUAGUGUGAUGUGCCAUUUAGUUGCAAAGUUAUGGAUUUGCAUCACUGAAUGAAGCAACUCAUUCGACAAUAACUCCUGGAACAACAUAUUUUUGCAAAGUGUUGCACUGUGACCUUAUGCUCCUUUGGUAAUGGUUCUGCCAGGGAUGGAGCGUGUUGGAACAAAACAUUUAGGGCCUGUUUAGCUGGAGGAUAAGGGGGGCGCAUAACUUUUCCCCCAGAUAACUUUUUCUAUCCGGCGUUCGGAUGGUGAAAACCCGCCCGGAUAACUUUUCUCCCCUGAUAACUUUUCCCCCAGCGGAAGGAUAGAGGUGGAUAAUUUAUGGGUGGCCUUCACCCUAGUUAAAAGUUAUCCGGGAGGAUAAGGGUGGGGGAUAAGGAAGAAAAUAUAUAUAAAAAAACAAAAUGUAAAAUAUCUAGAUAUUAAAAAUAUAUUUAUACAUAUAUAUACAUAUAUAAAUAUAUAAUAUAAAGAUAUUCAUACAUAAUAUAGAUAGAUAGAUAGAUAGAUAGAUAGAUAGAUAGAUAGAUAUGUAUAUAUAUAUUUUUAAUAUCUAGAUAUUUUACAUUUUGUUUCUCUCUCUAUAUUUUCUUCCUUCUCCCCACCCUUAUCCAUCCAUUCUAAAAAGUAUCCAAACAAAGUUAAAAGUUAUCCCCCUCCAAAAGUUAUCCCCCUCUAAAACUUAUCCCCUGAUACUAUCCGGCAGCCAAACGAUUAGGUAAGGGGCUCCUGGAAUUUAUGCAAAGUGUUGGUUUCCUGUUGUUCCUCAAAAGUUAUCCUUUUGUAUUAAUGGAUGAAAGAUCACUGUACUAAGUCAAACUGAACAAAUGUUUAAGCUUGAACAUAAAACUUUGCACAAAUUAACUUAUGUUUAAUGCUGAACAUUCUUGGGUAUUGUAGCUUUAGCUGAUGUGAGCUCAUGAAUUUUGGCAUUGACAAGCCAUGAGACUUUUAGGUGGUAGGAAACCUUGUUUUAUCCCUGGGAUGUACAUAAAUAGAGUCAUUAUUGACUUCAACUCUUAAUGAAUUUUCUUGGAUUCUUAUAGUCCUUAAAAAGUCCCCUAGAGGACACCCAGCAGCUAUGUCUCAUUAUCCCAAUAAAGAAGCUCAAUUUUGAAUCUCCCAAACUACCCCUAUGAACAAAAAUUGUUUUGCUACUGUAACAGUGCACUUAAAAUUUCUCUGGGUACUUGCAUUCAUACAUGCAAUAACUCCUAGCCAUGAAGAGUUUUUGUUUCUUCUCACUUUUGUUCCUUUCUUAUGUUAUUUGGCAAACUCUAGAAUCACAAAUAAUUAUGUAUUUCACUAUUCUCAGAAGCGGAGGUACUUUCAGCUCCUCCAAAGUUGGUAUACAGCAAACUAAUUUUGCGGUGAGCCCUUUAAAUUGAUAAUUAAAACAAUUUCAUUUUGCAGAUUCCUGCAGCUGUUGUUGUGUACACCUCCAUACACACACGUGCGCGCACACACGUACACACAGCUAAUUUGUUUCUGCUCUUCAUCACAGAUUCACAAGGAAACUUCUAGUGGCAAUAGUAGAAAGGUGGAACAGUCAUGUCCUUGUUAUUGACAAAGUUGCUCCAUCUAAUUGGAAGGUGUGCAAUUUACUGUAUGAAAUGGAUAAUUUGUACUUCUAGAUUUUUUUUUUACUCUGAACUGUAGGUAUGUCUUGUGAGUUGAAUAACAUUGAAUCAUACUUUUUCAGAUCUUCAGCUUUAUAUUCUACAUCAAUGGUCCUAUUUUUAUUUAUAUUUUUUACCUAUGGGUGUGCCCAUUGUUUUCAUAUCUAAACAUCAUAGGAUCGUCUCCCUUUUGAGAACACUUGUUGACUCGACAGCUCUAUAUCUGUUCCAUAAACCAAAUGAAACCAAGCUUUUAUCCCAAUCAAUUGGGGUUGGCUACAUAAAUUCUUUUACGCCAUUGAACUCUAUCAAGGGCCAAAUGUUUGCUGAGCCCUAUAUCUGUUCCAUCCCAUCUGAAAAAAUAUUGAGCUUCUUUAUUGUAAAUAUUUGUAGAAAAACGACUUAGAGAUACUUUCUAAGAAAACCUAUGUUAUUAUCGGUAUUCAGUAGUUAAUGACCAUUUAAUUAUUCAUGAUUCUACCGGAAAGGAUAAGUUAGGUAAAAGUGUCAAUUCAACAAAUUAACCAUCUCCCUGCAUCUAAUUUAGUGGAGUUUCUGGGUCCAGCAUGCCAAGUCCUUGUAAGAACUUAGAAGCCGUGUUUGGUUCCAUAUCUCACAAGGUUCACACAUUUGUGGCGAUAUGACUUUGCAACAGGAAAGGAAGUAAAGGGAUCCGUGAAAAAAAAGGAAUUAACUGACCUUGUUUUCAAACCUCAGUAUUGAGGAAUUGACUCUCAUCAUUUUCAUAUCUCCAAGCUAGUAUCAGACUAUGAAAGUUUCUGCUGCUUUAGCUUCCAUUUUUAAUGCCUAAAAAUUUCUGUAUUCUACAGAAUGAGCCAGCGGGCAGAAUCUUGGAGUUCUGUAUUCUUCACUUGGCAAUGUCUGAAAUAACAGUGCUAGGAACAAGGCGCCAGAUAGUCAUCAACGAGGUUUUCUUGUCUUGCAUUUUUGUUUCUUUACUACUGUUAUACUGCCGUUUAUUCUGUACCAUGUACUGUGUUCUCAAUUUUAAUUUUAUUCAACUGUGUGUGGGUAUUUUUGAAGGCCGUUGAUAUUGCAAAACGCUUCUGUGAUGGAGCAGCCCCUCGUAUAAUCAAUGGUUGCCUCAGGACGUUUGUCACAGAUCUUGAAGAAAAUGGUACAGCUCAGGGACUAGAAGGUAAGCAAAUACUGUUCCAUUAAUCUAUUGUUUGGCUACUAGCUGAUGUUGGAGAACCUCAAGAAAGAGCUCUUUCUUCUCUGCAAUGAAGAGAUGCUUUUAUCGGAACAAGCGAAUCUGUUAACAACUAACGGGGAAUGAGGUUCCGGUGGAUCUUAAUUCUUGGAAAAUAGGGGAGAAUAGCACGUGGAUGCUGGAAACCCAUAUGCAUUCAAUCUUGUACUCGUAUGAAAAUAUAUUUAUUGGCAUGCAUUCUAAAUAUUUAAGAUAGUAAUAUAAAUUCGGUGAAACUUCUUCAACUCCUGGGGCGAAUUUUAGAUGUUAUGCAUCACAUAAACUUCUGUUUAGAAAAGAUGAAUUGGCAUCUGUCUCUCUCUUCCUUUGAAGUUUGAGUAGGUCUUUUUGGGUUUCUAUAGAUCAUAAAUUUAGAAGUUUAACUUAUCAAAAAAUUAAAUAAAAAAAAUCAAAAGUUACCGCGAUAAAUGACUUUUUUAUUAUUAAUUGAAAGACUUGAACUUAGUAUCUUUAUCGCACAAAUAAUGAUAAGGGUAAAACCAAAAAUUGACCAUUCAAGACAAAGUUUACCAAGUUGGAUGCAUUGUUCAAUGUACUUUUAAAGCGAAAGCCUUGGUUCUGCCUUUAGCUGUCUAGACUCUAGAGGUAGGGUCUGAGAUUGUCGCCUGCGUGUGAGAACUGCUGUGUGGGCUCUGUGAUGGCCGCUGUGUGGGGAGUUGUGAUUGGCCUCUUUGUGUGGUGUAUGGUGGGGCUUUGUGACAGGUGCAUGCUAGGUGUUGGGUGAGAAAGUGAGGUGGACAGUUGUGGAUCAGCUUCCCUCCAUACCCCCUCCUCUCCUCUCUCUGGACACCAAUUGAUUUUGAGCUUGUUUUUAGUCUGUUUUUUUUUUUUUUUUUAAAUCUUAGAAAAUAGAAUUGAAACUUUGGAGUUCAAAGGACUUAACUAUGUUUUGCAAUAAUAUAUAAUAUAGAUACGGUAUUAAUGAUCCCUCUUGUAUUCUAGCAAAAAAUUAUAUGCUUGUGACUCCAAAAUUAAAUGAACUUUACACUUUACAUUCCUAGGUUACGUCCCUGUGAUUGUACAUCCUCAUUUCAUAGAAGCGAGAUGCGAUGAUCUCCUCUCCUCUAUCAAAAAUAUAAUGGGAUGAUAGAUUUCAUCGAAGUCAAAACAAUUGAAUGGAAUCAUCCAAAGGUCUGCAACACGUGUAGGUGACUCUAUGUAUGUAUGUUCUGAUUCAUGAUAGAGUGCUAAUUAUCGAUGGUAGCAAAAAUGAUUGGUUGAAUGGAGAGGAGAGAAGAGGGAGGGAGGGAGGGAGGGAGAGGAAAAUCAUAAAUAUUUACUUUUCCUGCAUUCAUGUAUAAUUACAAAAACACUGUAAAUGUUUCAUUAUUGCACAUCGUUGGUUCCAUUGAAGAGGUAGUUGUUAAGUAAAAUAUUCGGCAACAAGCAGUAUUUUAAAGAAUAAUUUUAUUAAUAUUCAAUAAAUUGAACUUACAAGCUUUAAUCGAUUGAGAAAAGAGCUUAACCGGUUGAACAAUUACAGAAAUGUAAGUUACAAAAAUUGAAAUGCAGAAACUUAAAUAAAAAAUACAAAUAAAGCCGAGUCUUCCAAUUGCAGUCUCUUUAAGAAAGAUUAUCUGCUUACUGAGAUUGUUGUAGGGUUUUGUCGAUAUCUUUCUCCUAAUAUAAAAUGGUUAAAACUGCACACUUAAGAACAUUUUCGAAACACCCUUGACGAAUUGAGUCAACGUAUGUCUGUCUCUCUCUCAAAAAUGAUAACUCAAAAUGUUUUCUAUAUUAUUAUUUUCAUUGUAUAUCUCAACACAUGAAGAUCAAUAUAUAUAUAUAUAUAUAUAUAUAUAUAUAUAUAUAUAUUGUUUUUUGUCCAAUAAACAUCCUUCAUACAUAAGUGGUGUUUAAUGGCUGAAUUUAUUAUAUAUAUCCUUAAUAUAACUAUUGGAAUUUAUCAUAUAUAUCCUUAAUAUAACUACUGGAAUAGAAAAUUACAUAGAUCCUUAAUAUAACUAGGGUUGUUCAAAUAUCUGAUCCAUCCGUCAACCCGAUCGAUCCGAACUAACCCAACCCGAACCCGACCCAACGCGCUCAUUCUACGAAUGAAUAACAGAUGGAUUUCAAUUAACCGGAUCACAUUCGGUUUGGGUGUCAGGCCAUUCAAUCGACCAACCCGACAAAAAAUUACACUAAAAUCUACCAUUUUCAUCUAACCCGAUCCCAAUCCGACCAUAUAUUGGAUCGAAUUCAGACCCAAUCUUCUCCAACCCGACCAGUUCGGUUCGGAUGUCGGAUAACUCCCAAAUCCAACCAGAGGCGGAUCCAUGUGAGGCCCGGGGGGCAGCUGCCCCCUCUCAAGUUUGGAAAAAAAAAAUUUGCCAUAUAUUUCUAGAAAAAAAAUUUAUUUGUCUCUCCUCAAAAUUAUAAUGCCCUCCUUCCGAAAAAAAAAUUUAACAAUUGCCCCCACCUGAGUUUUUUCCUGACUCCGCCACUACAUCCAACCCGACCCCGACCCGCCCGUAGACAACCCUCAAUAUAACUAUGGAAUUUAUCAUAUAUAUCUUAAUAUAACUAUUGGAAUCUAAAUUACUUAAUAAAUUCAGCCAUUAAAACAUCACUUCAUAAUGAGGAUUAUUAUUGACCAAAAAACAGCGUGGCCAUUAAGCUGCUAAAGGGCCCGUUGGCUGGAGGAAUGGGAGGGAGGAAAAUUUUAGAAGGGGAUAACUUUUAACUAUUGUUUGGAUACUUUUUAGAUGGAUGGAUAAGCGGUGUGAAAUAAGGAGUAAAUAUAUAUAGAGAAAAAACAAAUAUAAAAUAUCUGAUAUUAAAAAUAUAUAUUUUAUUUUUUUCUCAUAUAUAUCAAAAAAAAUUAUACUUUUAUUUCCUUUAUAUAUAUUUUUUCUAUCUCUCACCCCCUUAUCCCCCGGAUACUUUAGUUAGGGUCUAGGCCACCUAAAAUUAUCCGCCUCUCCACCCUGCUGGGGGAAAAAAUUAUCCGGGAGAAAAGUUAUCCGCCCCUCCAUAUCCAACCAGCCAAACGGCCGAGGAAAAAAAUUAUUCAGGAAAAAAGUUACCCCUCCUAAUCGACCGGCCAAACUGCCUAAUAGGAUGUUUAAGACAUAUAAAUAUCCCUUUAAUAUUCAUUCAAAAAAACCCAUUAAAUUUCCAACCAGUAGUCCAUCCUUUCGGCGGUGGUUGCGCUCGUGGAUGCAAGUGAAAGGUUGUGUGGGGGUCUUCAUAGAUGUCCUGUAACCGAUAAUAGAGCGCAAGUCUUCCCAUUUUCCCAUUUUUCUUCCAAAUAAUGGAUUCUGUCAAAAUUUAUUUUCAUCCAUUCCAAGCUUUUACAAGAAUUUUUCAAUCAAUGAUUUAGAAAUAAUUGUUGAAAAACUGGGUUCUUAAUCCAUUAGUUUUGCCCCAAUUUUAAGGCUAAUUAAGUGGACCACACUCUUUUGGGUGGGUCCCAGUAGUUAUGAUAUAUUUAAUGUGAGUAAUUAAGAAUAUGUAAUUAAUUUGUUCAAAACCUUUUACAAUUGAAUGGAAAAUUGACUUUUCCCCCCCCAAAAAAAAACAAAAGUAACUACAUAAAUGUGAAGGGAAUGUUAGCUUAUAAGGAGAUACUUUUUAUAUACUGGCUAUAUAUUUUUUUAUAAAAAAGUUAUUUAUUUAUUUUAAUAAAUAAGUUUUUUUAAUUGCAAUUUUGUCUCCGAACAGUUGCGUCUUUUCGGAUUAGUUCCAAAUAGUUGCGUCCGUUCGGAUUAGUCCCGAACUAUUGCGUCUGUUCGUUUUAGUCCCUGCACGUUUAAAUUUUAAAUAAACAUACCAUUUGAUGGGUUACCUUCCUUCUGAAAAGUUGCAUCUCUUCCAACAGCCACGAAUCCUUCUAUAAAAGUCUUCCCCUUUUAGCUAUUCUGAAAUAUCGAAAAACAUCUUUUGCAAUACUAAAUCUUCUUUUCAUCUGCACUUCCCUUCUGCACAUUUUUAUUGUUAUUGGUUCGCCAAACUCGCUGUUGUUGUGUUGUACCAGUGAGAUUCCGACUGUUGUAUGAGACAUAGUCCAUUAAUUUCAUUGGCACCAGUGCGGAUGAUUAAUCUAUCUUAAGGACACUAUUAAAUACAUGCCUCAGUCACCAUUUUUAGAUUCUGAUUUCAAAACAAAAAAGUUUCUGUAAGUUUAUUUUUGUUCUUUCAAAUUAUUAUAAAUUUAAUUUCAUAUUAAUCUUGCCAAUUUCACACAUUACACGUAAGAUUGUCCAAUGAUAAAUCUUUUUAACAAAACAUCAAAGUCAACCUCUUAAAAGGCUAUGGACCCAUAAUCAUAAUUGCAGGCAUAUUUUUAUUUAUUAAAAACUAAAAAAUCUAAGAGAUUGUAUGGAAUGAAAGCGCAAAGAACUUGAAGUAUGUAUUGCCACAAUAGGGGAUGUUUGGUAACGUUUUUAAUUUUUCUGUUGUUUUGUGUUUGUUUAUUUUUAUUUUGUUUUAUUAUUUUUUUAUAAAAUAGAAUUAAAAAUACGUUUGUGUCCACUUAUUUUUAACCUAUUUAAACAUAAAAAUAUGUUGUGUUUUCACCUUUUUUGAAACUUAUUUUCAAAGAGAUAGAGCCGGUAGUGUAGCGGUGGUAGAGGAGGUGGCGAUGGUGGUUGGAGGUGGCAACGGCAGUGGGUGGUUGGAGGUGGCGGCGGCAGUGGUGGUGGAGUGGAAGUGGCGGCGGUGAUGGUGGUUGGAGGUGGCGGUGUUGGUGGAGGAGGUGGCUGUGGCCGGUGGUGGUUGGUGGUGCGGCGGCGGCAGUAGUGGUUGGCGUGGCGGUGGUGGAGGUGGAGGCGGUGGCGUGAGGAGUGGAGGGGUGGAGGUUGGAGUGUAGCGGUGGUGGUGGUGGUGGUUGGAGGUGAGGUGGGGUGGUGUUUGUGUUGGUGGUGUGGUUGGGAGGUUGGAGGUGGAGGUGUUUGUUUGUUGGUGGUUGGAGGUGGCGGCGGCGGUGGUUUUGGUGGAGGUGCGGCGGCGGCGGUGGCGGGUGGAGGUCGAAAGUUGCGUGGAGGUUGUGGGUGGUGAUGGCGCGGUGAUGGUGAUGGUGGUUGAUGUGGAGGUGGAGGUGGAGGUGGUGGUGGUGGUGGUGGUGGCGGUGGUAGUUGGAGGUGGCGAUGGCAGCGUGGUUUGGUGAUGUGGUGGUGGUUGGAGGUGGCAACGGCGUGGUGGUUGGCGGUGGCGGCGGCGAGUGGUGGUUGGAGGUGGAAGUGGCGGCGGUGAUGGUGGUUGGAGGUGGGCGGUGGUGGUGGAGGAGGUGGCGGUGGUGUAGUUUGGUGGUGCGGCGGUGUGGUGGUUGGCGGUGGUCGUGGCGGUGCGGUGGUGGUUGAAAAAGUUGGAUAAAAAUUUUGAAUGAAAAAUUUUUGUAAACAAAAUAAAAAUAAUUUUUCUGUUUUUCACUAUUGUCAAAAAUAGUGAAAGUUGUUAACUUUAUUUUCAUUAUUUUUGCAACACAAACAAGUUUUUGUUUCAUUUAACAGAAAAAUAAAAUUAACAGAAAAACGAAAUUCCUGGGGUUAACAAACAUCCACUAGAGGUUUAGAAUGGCUUUGUUUGGCUGCGGAUAGCGAGGGGAUAUUUUUUUUUGGAUAUUUUUUUUUAUCCGCGUUUGGAUCGUUUUUAUGCAGGCGAAUAACUUUUCUUCCUCAAUAAUUUUUUCUCAGCGGGCGGAUAGAACGGAUAAUUUUUGGUGACCCCUCACCCUAACAAAAGUUAUCCGGGUGGAUAAGGGGUGAGGAUAAAAAAAAAACAUAUAAUAAAAAUAAAAUAUAUAUUUUUAUUUUAUAUAUAGAGAGAAACAAAAUAUAUAUUUUUAAUAUCCUAGAUAUUUUAUAUUUUAUUUUUCUCUAUAUUAUUUUGUCUUAUCCCCACUUUUAAUUCACUCAUUUUAAAAAAUAUCUAACCCAAUUAAAUUUAUCUGCCUCAAAUUUUAUCCACCAUGCUAUUCGGCACUACAAAAAUUUAAAAUAAAACACAAUUUCUACUUACAAAGCAAGCCAAACCAACCAGACUUGUUUGAAACCUGAGAAAGAAAUGGAAAGGAGAGGAAAAGAAGCAGCUAGCUAGCCAGCUGGCCUAGGAAGGAAAUUAAAUAAUAAUAAUAAUAAUAAUAAUAAUAAUAACAAUAAUAAUACGGUGAGAGAGUGAGGCUCCGUUUGGUAAUACUUAAAAAUUAAUUUUUUUUUAAACUUGCUAUCAAAAAGACCAAUUUUUUUUUGUAAUUUUACUUUAGCUAAAACUAAAUAAAAAAAUAAAAACAGAAAAGCAAAAAAAUCAACUCUGAUUAUUUUUUUAUUUAUUUUAAGCAAAAAGUUAAAAAAAAAAUUGAAAAAGAUGGUGCCAUCCGUUUGGUAAUGCUUAAAAGUUAAUUUUUUUAAAGUUUGUUACUAAAAAGACCAAAUUUUUUUAAUUUUUUGAUUUUUUUGAUUUUACUUUAAUUAAAACUAAACAAAAAAAAUAAUUUUAAUUAAUUUUUUAAUUUAUUUAAAAAAAAAAAAAAACUGAUGCCAAACGGAGACUAAGUCUCCGCAAGGAUAAGGGUAAGCUAAUUUUUUGAUUCUCGGUCUAGGAUAAUUAUUUUCCUGCAUACGGUUCAUAUUUUGGUGUCGGCUCAUGAACUCAUAUAAAUUCUUGAAGUUCCCACCGAUACGAUAUUUGCCCUUAAUUACAAAGAAUAAUAAUUUUACACAUUUAUUUUGCCCUCUCAUAAAAUAAGUGGGACUCACUCUAAUUAAAAUUAUUAAAAAAGCGUAAAAAUUCUAAUUAAGACGGAUCUCACUUAUUUGUGAAAAAACAAAAAUAAAUGUGUCUUGUACACACCCAAUCACUAUUGUAAUUACAAAGGUCUGAGUCGUCUGACAGAAUGCGCAUGAAAGGUGGCAAAGAUUUGUGAGUCUUUCAUAAAAUGCAGGAACAAGCACCGUGAGCUAACUUGUAGCGGAUAAAGCCACCUUUCCCUUGACGAAUAUACCCUCCACAAGAAGUGGACUUCACAGAGCACGGAAUGAGGUUAUUUUGGGAAAGUAACAAGGGCUCAUCGAUAAGCUGUCUCCAGAUCUUUCCUCACCACUCAAAAAUAACAAACCCUUUCUUCUCUCUCACUCCUCUCCCUUCCGCUCUCAAACGAUCCCUCCUAUAAAUCUCCUUUGCUAUAUAAAAGACGAUACUUUUCAAAUUCUUACCGCCCUAUUUCGAUUCUUCUCACUCUUGUUGCAAAAAAAUCUCCCAGAUCUCUGAGUCUGAAUCGAAACCCUAAAUUUCAUUUUCUUACACGAACAUUCCGUAUCAUAAAAGGUCUGAUCUCUCUUUCCGACUCUCAAAUCUUCGCUUGCGUUAGAUCCGUGUUCUGGGUUCUUCCUUUUUGCAAAUAAGCACUCAAUUGGGUUUGGGUUUUUGAUUCGAAAACCUAACGAUUCAAUUGACCUCACAAGCUUAAUUUUCUCUCAAAUCAAUUGCCUUUCCAGGUUUCUUUGUUUCUCUAUUUUCUACUCUUAUAUUCGAAUUAUUUUUAGUUUAAAACAUGGUAUUAUGGGCGUCAUUGUAUGUGUGUUAAUCUAUCUACAAGUGUAUUUAUAUACGGUAAUUUUUUCUUAUAGAUUGGAAGAUUUGAGUUUUUUCUUGAGAGGGGUUAAAAAAAUAGUUUGCUUUUUCCUAGGAAGUUCUCAAAAAUAGAGUGGGGAAGAGUGAGAAGUGGUUUCUGGUAUGGUGUAAGAGUGUUUUCUGAUUUCUUGUUACUUGUGUGUUAGAAGACAUAGGAGCAGUGUUUGGGGAAGCAUGGAGGAUCAAGUGUUGGAAGGGAGCCAGCCAGUGGAUCUUUCCAAGCAUCCGUCUGGAAUUGUCCCAACUCUCCAGUGAGUCCCUUCCCACCAAUCCAUCCCCCCUAUCAGUUUUUCCAUUCCAUGUUGUACAUUGACACCAGAUUGUUGUACUAUUAUUGUAAUAAAAGCUAUGUACUCCGUAUAUGCUAGAUUUGAAAAAUUGGCCAAUUCUGCUAUAUAUGAUGCCAACAAGACAAUAGGCUUGUGCACCUCAACUGCGCUUGUGCAUUGGCAUGGUUGUAUCUUGUCAGAGAAAAAGAAGGGAAAUUCGCCAUAAUAUCUUGAACUCACACAAUGUGUUUUUACUUAUAUGAUUAUCGGUUUGUCAUUCACUUGUGGCAAUUGAAGAAAACAAACACUAUCUUGUGCGCUGAAAUAUGUACUGAAUAAUUGUUGACGUAUUCCUUGACUAUUUGUAUGAAUUUCUCGCAUCAAGUGCUAUUUGGAAUAUGUAAACUAGCUCUCAAUCAUUUUGCAACCAUGACCAUAGUUUCUGAUCGAGCACACAUAAUCACAGGAGAAUGUGCUUGUUCAUGCAUAUACACAGAUCAAUAAUUGAUAAUCUUGGCAGAUCCAGUAAUAUAAUUAUUAAACCUGGAUUUUCAGUCCAAUUGUCCUUCAUUAAAAAAUGAUGAUUGAUUUAAGUCCGCUUGGAAGUUUACAUGCAGAGGGAAUGGUGGCCAGACUGCUGUCGCCUCUCCUCCCUCAAUUUCUUGUAGAUAUCCAUAUUUUAUAGAUUUUUAUGUAUAAUUUAUUAAUUUUAAUUCACAAUAUGUCAUCAAGUCUCCUUUUCUGGAAGGAGACCUCAGUUUGUCACUUAGUGUACUAUCAGGUAUUCUUUUCUGGAAGGUCUCAUUAGUCAUGAGCCUUCAAUAAGUCAUAGAACGUAGCUACCUUACGUUUAAGGGGUGCAACAACUUUCUAAACUCUUUUACAAUGGAGAAAAGGUAAACAUGUGAGUAUCAAUUAUUUUUUCCAAGAAACACUUCCAUGAGAAAAUCUACGAAGAUUGAAUUGACCAAUGUCCCAUGUAUUACUAACAUUAGGUCUCAAGGAAAAAUCAUCAAGAAUGACCAACAAGAGCGUCAACUCAUCUGUUUCACAAUCACUAAUUUUGGUAAAAAAAUUUGAAAUUCCAAGAAAUUGGGUUCACAUGAAAAAUAACUUUAGAAGCAAUGCAAAUGAAAAAUACCCAUAUAAGUGUAUGUUUCUAAGCGUCGGAUUCAUCCAAUUCUUAUGCCUAAAGAGCAUGGACACUACAAAAAUAUCCGUUUUAAUAUACCUAUUUUGUUUUCGGGGGAAAAUGAUGUUUAUAAGGAGCAAUAGAAUGUUUCUUGGAUUAAAUGGGUGCUUAUGCAUCGCUAUAUGGUACACUCAAAAUACUAAACGUGAUUGUUGGGUGGAUGAUUUUUACCAUAUCCCGUAAUCUACCCAAAUGUCCUACACGAGUACUGGUGUUUAGAAAAGAGCCCAUAUAACAUAAUUGGACAAGGAUGAGCAUUUUUUUCCCUUCUAGGGCUAUUGUUUUUUGAUUUUGGAGUGAGUUGGAUUACACCGGCUUCGGCUAUUCAUCUUCUCGAUUGUUGGCAUGUUUAGCGUCGGGAUAAGAGGGUCAAAAAGGUGUGGAGGCUGGAGAAUUGCUCCUUUAUGCUUAAUGUCGUGUUUAUGGAGAGAAAUAAAUAUGCAGACUUUUGAAGACGUGCGGUGCUACUCGAGACCUAAAUUGGCUUUAUUUAGUUCUUUUUAUUUUUGGAUUAAGGAGGCUUUUGUCUCUCCUCCUUUUUGUUAGUGAACUUCAUGAGGGAGUUACACUUUGGGGAGGGCUUAUAACUAUGUCUUUUUUGUAUAUUCAUCCAUUUUUUCCCUUUUUAUGUACUUGGGCAAUGCCCCUUCGGCAUCCUUCUUAUACAUUUAUGUUCAUGUGUGAGAUCUAAGAGACAGAUCUCGAUAUGGAAUGUAUGAAAUGAGAAGUAGUGGGAUGUAUGAAAGCAGUAGUUCUCUGUAAGGGAUCUAAAGAGAUAUAACUCAGAGGGAAAGAGAAAGCAAUAGUCUACCAGAGAGAGGCAUAAUCCAGGACUUCUUCUUUAGUGGAGAAGCAAAUGAACAGUGUUUAAAGCUUGUCGAUUUCAACAAAGCAGUCCCCCUAUCUAUAGGCUUCCGCUCACAUGACUUUUAGUAGCUCAUGUGAGUGGUCUUAAUCGACCCAUGUGAGGUCCUUAUGACCUCACCGGAAAUCAAGGGACGUGCUCUCCUGGUUUCUGUUAUAGUCCACGUGACAGGACCACUUGAACCAUUAUAAUAAAGAAAUGCAGACCUCUCUCUUCUAAUAGACAGGCCAAAGUAGUGCACACUUCCGCUUCGUACCAGACCGUGGUGCAUUACUUGGCAGACUCCCAUCUUUACCUCCAGUCCACAGGCUCUUAGAUCUCGCGGCGGAGACAAGGUGAUGGCUUUCCAAGUUAUCCUCUUGGACUUGUCCAGCUUAUGCUCAAUCAUGAGGGGCCGUGGUUGUGAUUGUAGAGCAACGUGGUAUCCCCAGUCCCCAAGCUAAUACCUACAAUUCACCUAUUAAAAAUUACUGACUCAUAUUGAUCACUUUGUACUUGGGUCGAGCGUUUACCUUCUAUAAUUUGGACUUAGAUGUUUGUAGGCACUAAAGAAGCAUUUAUCAAGCACAGAGAGCUGGUUGGCGACGUCAACUACUUAGUUUCAUUAGAAAAGAAAGUCAACUAGAUGCUGGGUAUUUUGAAGUUAAGUUAUUCCCGUCUUUGUAUGAUUUAGAUGAUUUGGGGUUUUUAUGCAUUUGAUAAUUGGGGUUGGGGACAUCCUCUUCUUAUAUGCAUAUCAUGUAAAAGAGGUUCCAACUAAAUUUCUCCACUUGCGUGUGCUAUUGCAAUGAUGGUGCUGCUUGGUCUGUUUAUUUGCUUUUAUAGUUUGAUCAUUGCACUAACUGCACGCACCUGAUACAUGUAUAAAUUUCCAUCUAGGGGAUUACUACCACCAUAAAACAUGCCAAAAUAUGCUUGGGAAAUGGAAAACCAGUGGCACUACUAAUUUGUUCUUAUUGAUGUAGUCAUAUAGAGGAUUGUUUGGGUAUCUAUCCCAUCCCCAAUUAUUUUCUGGACAACAUGCUUAAAAUAUUCAAAUUUGUAGCAAGACGUUCUUUCUCCAGUUAACAACUGAUUAUGAUUCUUAACAACAAAUUGUCUGUACGACUAGGAACAUAGUGUCAACAGUAAACUUAGACUGCAAGUUGGAUCUUAAGGCCAUUGCACUUCAAGCUCGAAAUGCAGAAUACAAUCCCAAGGUAUGGAGUAUGUUUGACUGAGAUUUUCUGCUUAGCCUUUGAAAAUUUAAAUCUGGAAUCCCGUCUUGCACUUUGAGAACUAAGAUUUAAGAAGUUUAUUAAAAUUUAUUUUUCAAAGUUAGUAUUUUCUGAUUUCUUUAUCAAUCUUUAUUUGAAUCUUCUUACUUUUGCUCCUUUUGGCACGUUUUGCUGCUGUAAUUAUGAGGAUAAGAGAACCAAAAACUACGGCAUUAAUAUUUGCUUCUGGAAAGAUGGUGAGUGUCUCCAUGUCAUGCCUUAUGUUCUUUAUGGAAAAUUAUCAAAUUCCACACUAUUUGCUGCCCAUAAAAUUUCGUAAACAAUUGUUGUUUCUUGUAUCCAAAAAUGUCUCCUCCUUACUCCAGGCAUACAAAUUAGGUUUCAAUAUGAAGCUUUUUAUUUCUUACUACAACAUUUUGCCCAUAUCACAUCCUCUGCCUAGAUUUAAAGGUUGACUAUGAUUUCUUUAGGGGUUUUCUGGUGUACAGUGAGCUGGCACGUCUUCACGUCACUUCUAGAGAGGUUUUGUUACUUGCUUGAUAGUUGCAGGUAGAGAUGAACUGAUUAAAUUUUUAAGGCCUAUAUGCUAGGAUAACCGGAGGUUGAGACUCUUGUACUACUUGAUGGUCGUGUCAACUUUAAAAGCCAAGCUAACCUGAUACUCGUUGCAUUUGAUUUGAGGCUUUCUUAACUAAAAUAAGCAUCAUUAAUUAAAAAUCUUAUAGGACAUCUAUUUACUUAUGUAGUUUUUGGGGUGUUACUUGCCAUUCUUUUGUAAUGUAAUUUUUGCACGAUUUUAAAAGAAUGGAGAUAUAUGCUAGUCUUUUCUGUUGGAAAGGAAAAUGCAUUGCAUAAUCAGUAUUUCAUAGAAUAUACUGUCUUCUUGCUAUACUCUCUUGAGGUCAAGUAAUAUAUAGCUUGAGCUCAAUUUACAAAGAACUUCAGCACCCAAAAUUUUAAUGCAUUUGUCUUGUCCCAAAACUGAUAUUAAGUUAGCCUAUGAUAGCUGAAUUGCAGAUUUGCGUAGCCCAUGGAACAUCGUAGAUGCUUGUAGAUUUAUACUUGCAUUCCUCAUGUGCCAUAUAGUGUAAGCCUGUUUUCGAAAUAUUAUCCUCACAUCAUUGUGUCAUAUCCCGACUCAACAAAGGAUGACUCUUUUUCAUUGGUCCUAAUGCUUGCUGGUAACCAUAAUGUAAGAAGUGGGUAUUGUGAAAAAAACUACAGGAUGAACCAGUAACUUGCAUAAUUAUGCAUUUGGAAAGAAACAUCAUAUCCUAUAUCCCUAGUUGAACCCAACCCGUUUCAUGGAAAAACCUUCAUUUCAUAUGAUCUACCUUUAGCAGUCCUUAGAGGAAUAGGUUGCUGAGACUUUUGUUUUUUGUUGCUAUUCCCCAAGCUUCCGAGGUAUGUUAAUGCAUUUACGUACAGAGUUGCUUGUGACUUGUGAGGAGCCAUACAUGAGGAGCAAUUAAACAACUAACAUAAACUACCAUAUUCUUUAAUAGUUUAAGCUUAUGGAGUUACAGGUAAUACUUGUAAUUAGCACAAUUUACAUUUUUGGUUCUUGGAACAGGAUUGCAUGACUUGAUCGCAUGAAAAGCUUUCUCAUGUCUGUUCAAGAUUCACAGGCUCUCUUUAUUUUUGAGAGUUCCAUAUUGCUAAAAUAUGAUGUCGACAUCAAGUGCUAAUGGUCAAUGGAAAAAUAUUAUGUUGACAUCUAAUGCCUCUCAUAAUAUGUUAAUGCAAUUUGAAUGUCACUAUAUGGAUUAAAAGUUAUUGGUUGGCUAUCCUUUCUAUUGCUUAAGUACUUCUCAUGUGGCUUCAGGUUUGUACUGGGGCAAAGAGUGAACAACAGUCAAAAUUGGCAGCACGCAAGGUAGAAGGAAUGAUAUUUUUAUCAAUAAGCAUUGAAGUUUUCAACUUUUUACUGUAGAAGGAAUGUCAUGAUGAACUUUCUGUGUCAUCUUUAUUGUGAUAAGUGUAACCUGGUAUUUGAAUCGAUUCUAGGUGUGUGGUAUUGAUGUUUUAUUUUUAUUUUUUAAAAAUAUGUUCCCAUGUGUUAUGUUUGCUUUUUGCCAGUAUGCUCGAAUCAUACAAAAGCUCGGUUUUCCGGCUAAAUUCAAGGUAUGUACUCCUAAAAGUGUGCACAUACUGAUACAACACACAUAUCAGUCACCCUAUGGUUGUCACUUUCUUAGAUUAGAUAGUUGUCAUACUCAUUCUUUUUUUCCGCACAGGAUUUCAAGAUUCAGAACAUAGUUGGCUCAUGUGACGUUAAAUUUCCAAUUAGACUUGAAGGCCUUGCAUACUCCCAUGGUGCUUUUUCAAGUGUAAGUGAUAGCGAGUUUCGAUAUGUAUAUUUUUUGGUCUUCAUAUAAAAGUCAUGGCUGUAACUGGAAAUCCUAGAAGGUUUUGCAUUGCAUCAACGGUGACAGGAUAAAGUUUUGCAGUUAAGGUUGUGUUCUGCAAUCCUUGGUUUAUAAUUGGUCUAGAAUGUUAGUUAAUAAUCCAGAAGAAGGUCAAAGUAGAUUAUUGUUGUAACUUUUUUGGGCGUUGUUCAAUGUAUCUUACUAUCUUAUGUACUUCCUCAACUGACUGCCAAAGUUGCUGACAGUGUUACUGGUCAUGUCAUGUUUAGAAGCUUUUUUAAAUUAAGGCAAAUGCAUCAAUCUCUUCAUUCAUAAUACUAAUGAUAGAUCAGGCUUGUGAUACAGUAUGAACCAGAACUGUUCCCUGGAUUGAUCUACCGGAUGAAACAACCAAAAAUUGUGCUGCUUAUAUUUGUUUCUGGGAAAAUUGUUCUUACAGGCGCGAAGGUGAUGAAUAAGAUCUGGAAGUUGCCUCAUUGACUUUUUCAUGUAGUUUUUCAGGUUUUAUAAGGUAUUCUGGCUGUCUGUAAUCUGCACUGUUGUGUUUCUUCAAAUUCUUCAGGUGAGAGAUGAGACUUAUUCUGCCUUUGAGAAUAUAUACCCAGUUCUUACCGAGUUCAGGAAAGUUCAGCAAUGGUAUGACACCUAAUUGCAUUUAUUUAUGUUCCAGCAUUGAUCAUAGCUUGAAUCUUUUGAUUAGGGGCGCUAACUUUUACUUGCCUCGCUUACCUAGCACUUCAUGUACUCUGUUCUACUUAUCAAUUUUUUUUUAUUAGUCCGUCCACCUAGUUCCUUGAUUUAGCAAACAUUACUACAGAAGAUUCCAAAAGAUGACUUGUGUAAGUUGGUGGGAAAGUAGUCUUUUAGCAUUAUAGUAUAACGGCAAACAAUGUUCAAGACCCAUUGCUUUAUUUUCUUUUCUAUUCUUUAUUUUCUUUUUCUUUUUUAAUUGCUGGAAACCUGCAAGGAAUACUUGGAACCUGAGUUGAAAUGCGUGCUGUUUAAUCUUAAUUUUGUAUCCAUGAAAUAUUUGACUUGAUUACAUCUUCAGCUUUGUGGUUUGUUGCAUAUGGAGCAGUGGAUUCAGAGACCUGAUAUUUGGUGCCCUAUGUCUCCACUAAUCCAUUAAAGACAGAUGAUUGAUUACACUACUUGCAAUGUACUCCAGUUUUCAUUGCUGAAAGGUUGACUAAUCUAAUUUGUCCAUUUUGUUGCAGAUUGUUUUGGGGAUGAGCAACUGACCAAUAUCUGCAAGUAGUGUUAAGAAAAUGAAGAGCAAGGAAAUCUGCUAUUGGAUAUCAUGACUGCUGAAACUGGUUUUACUGUAAAUAGAUGCGAGGAAAAAAUGGCUUAAUUUUUUUGGGGGUGGUGGUGUGGUGCGGUGGUGUUAAAUAAAUUUACUUGAUUGAAAUCAGGACCAUGAGUUUUGUUUUGUUUUGUAUCACAUGUAGUAGCAUCAAUUCAUUCUAUAGCAUUUUCAAUGUCUUCAGGCUAGUAAGAACUUGCACUUGCACUACACUAGAGUGUUUGAUUUUAACUUCUCUUCGUGCAUUUUGUAUGGGUACGAGUUUUCUUGGUUGGACAUGCAAAUAUAAAAUGAGAAGGUUCAUGGUAUUCUUUUAUGCAUUUGGACUUCAAAAUUAUAUUUGGCAAAUUCCUCGUAAGAUUAAAACUUACAAUGGGCAGCAGAGAGAUUGAGAGAGAUUGAGAGAGAGAGAGAGAGAGAGAGGUGGGUGCUGGACAUUGAUAGUGUAAAAAGUCUCUUUCUGCAAUUUCCCAACUAAGAAGACAAUUCUAAUUGUAAGAUAACAGAAAAUUGUACACGCCAAAUUUAUCAUCAUCAUCAUAAUCAUUGCAUUAGGACCUCUUCCAAGAACUGAAAAACAAAUAUGAUCCGCCUGUGACAAUAUUUCACAUGCCACGAUCAAUUGCAUUUUCACGUCAUAUACUCGGAAAGUAUUUUAUGACAACAGUAUGCUGCAUUAGACCAUCAACAUUUCAAAAGAAUGGUAAGAAACAUGAUCUUAUUACAGUAUCUAUAUUCAAUGUGGAACAGGUUGAAGAGAAACACAGCCAGGGAAGUGUUCAUCCCCGACUUUUCUCUUUCUGUUUUGUUCCACUUUAUGAAUUUCUAUGAUGCUGAUGACAUAGUGACCUCUCUCUAAUGAGCUUAUCCGCACCAGAGUUGCUUAUGCACUAGUAAUUCACUGUUGAAUUGAUUGCAUCUAAUAUCUGCAUUCAAAAGUAGAGCAGCAGCAGCCAUUGUAAGUGGCAAUAGCAUUAAUAUCUUUUCAACACAGACCAGUACAAAAUGUUUGGUAACAGAUUUAACCUUGUUCUUGGUGGGCAUGUAGAAUCAAAAACAAGUGGAAAAGGAGUUUCUCAAAAGCCUAUCCCAAUUAAAUUCUUGAAGACUGGAAAAGCGACUAAAAAUCAGCCCACUAAGACCAAUCCAAUAUAUGGUCGGGUCAUAUUUUAACGGGCACAUGAUAUUUUAAUGGACACACAAUCAUAUAGAAAAUCUCUCACUUGAGUGCAACUCUUAGAAGAACUAUGACCAGAAAAAUAUGGCAAACCAGUAAAUAGGUAGACAAAAUCCCUAUAUGCAUAUAUGUACGACUUAGAGACAUGCAGCACGUUCCUACUGCAACAGAGGUGUCCUCCUAUGUGCGUCUUAAUGCAGUAAACAAAUUACUAUGACAGAUUUUCUAGCUAAUUGAACUUAUUUCUCCUUUUUAUUUAAGAUGCAUUAUAUACUACAGUACUAUUUUAUUCAGUUUGAUUUAAGCAUGCAUAUUAGUGGUAUCAUUCUUCUUCUUUCCAUUCAGUUUCUUAUUUUUCUUCCGGCCCAUUUGAACGAGUGGACGGACCGAACCGGACACAUAUCUGUCAAGAAGUAAGAGCACAUCUAAUGCUUCAUAUGCAAAAUACUUUGACCAUCAGUAGUGGUAGCUUCUCAAGCGUAAUAAUGAAGACAUUCAACCUUGGCAUUUUUACUGAAAAGCUAGCAAUCAACCAAUAACACUGAGUCGAAAUAAGGGAUUGGAAUGUUGCAAGAUUACCCUCAAGAAGCAACGUUCGACAAUGGGAGCAGAAAUUUCAGCACCAAAUCCACCAGUUACUGGAGCUUCAUGACUAAUCGACAAAUAAGAAAUCAGGCAGAUUACCAAGAGUUGCAACUACCACUUUCAGAAAGUUUAUUAUACAAUGGUUUUAACAUUUAAUACUUACAAGAAGCCUUCCAGGCUUGCUAACAGAGGCCUCCACUGUUUCCUUGUCCCAAGGUAUUAGAGUUCUUCGAUCAAUCAGCUCACAAGAAAUUCUUUCCUGCAAACUCUCACAUGGCGAAUAACUAUUUGCGUCACUCACAUCAAACGCACAAGCGCACAGUUGUUGCAUAAAAAAGAGAAACAAAUAGUUCAGAAUGAAACAAAGUUAACACCACCUGCUGGCAUAUUUGUGAUCCUUUGAUGCAAAUAACACUUUGGAAGUUAAUUAGAAACAUAUUGUGCAUCAUUUACCUUAUCAGCCUCAACACGGGCCUCUUUCAUGAUAGCUAGCUGAGCACCCCAACCAAACUAGUGUUAUGUCACUAGACUCACUACCUUCUCGAAUCACCAGAAUUUGAUGCACGCAAUUUCUUCAGAUUUAGUGUACUCCAUCAAUUAUAGAACUAAAAUUAACGUACCUCUGCCUCUGAUAGAGGCAACAUAUAAUAAUGCUCGGGCACCUCUUCGAUGACCAAACGGUAAAGCCACUGAAAAUCCAAGAUAUUUAGAUUAUUAACAAUGUUUCAAAAAAACAUUUGACAAGGUUUUGGAUCCAAUGACUCGAGAUAAAUCAAUGGAGAAUAAUGCAAUACCUUUGAUUCAAGGAAUACAACAGGGUUCAGGUUGCGUAUGGAUGACAAUAACAACCCUUUCGCUUGCCUGGGGCUUCGAGGAAUUACAACCUACAAACAAACUACUCUUGAAGAAAUUGGACAGUGUCUAUAUUUCUACUUGUACAAAAUGCAGGAACAGCUUUCUUAAUCAACUUUGGAAAAUUGAGAAAACAUAAAAGUUCCUCCAAGUAAGCCUUAAAGGUCCUCCAAGUAAGCCCUAAAAGCCAUGUUAGUGUGUCAUAUGGCAUAACCCUAUGAAUCUGGUUAAAACUGAUGGAACUCCCCCAAUUCCAAUGUGCAUUAGUCCAAAUUCUGUUAUUGAAAGUAAUGUCCUUGAAAAAAAAUAUCAAAUGCUCAUAAUCUAACAUGUCAGCACUUUCGUACUUUACCAGAUAUGUGUCCUAGUUGAAGGAAAUUAGUUCUUUGAUCUACAUAAUAGUAAAUGCCUGUAGUUCUUUCUAGGAAUGAAUAAAACAAAAGUUUGAAUUUUCAUCAUUCAGAAAUUAGCAUUGCAUGUCCUUACGAGUUACGACUACUCUUACCAUGCCUCUUUCUUCAAAUGUAAUGCAUUAUAUUUUUACUCAUUCUUGAGAGAAAUGGAUGUCUACCUACAGUUCUUAAAAUAAUCAAGGUGAUGUCAAGCAUCCUUUUUUCUCAAUGGAAGUCACCCAAAUCCUGCACGAUCUAGAUGAUGCUGUGGGGGCAUUGCUCCUUGAGAGAGGGAUGAAAGGAAGGAGCAUACAACAGCACAUUAUAUAACUUGAUUCUAGGAACAUGGCAGAAAAAAGCUUCAGGGGAUUGUGAGUGAUAAUGCUCUCCAUGACCCACAGCUUCAUAAGGUGCUCUUAUUGUCAAACCUGGUAAAUCACAAAGAAUCCUCCGGACGCAAUGGAAACACGAACAAUUUAAAUUGAUACUAAUAAUUUCAUGUAAAAUUACCUCCGCAAUUAAAUUGAUUGCCACUCUGAUAUCUGAAUUUAGCUGCUUCAUUGACAAUCUAUGAAGUAGAAAUCAGUUAGCCAAAUUUCAAUAGUGAGGAUGCACUACAAACUUGCCACCAUGGAUGAUGCAUGCCUGAUCAAUGCGGAUAGAUAUAAUCUGCAAAUUGAAUUUCUAAUUUCUCUGUAGCUCGAUUUGCCUACCCACUGUUGAAUUGACACAAGUUGCAGCUAUCAUGCGAAAUAUUAAGACGAGGAAGGCAAUAAGCAGACUCAAUGGAGGGUUUUGACAUAAAAUCCCCUAUACGAUAAUCUACUAAAGUUUUGAGCUUACAUCACAGCCAGACCAUCCCAAUCCUACGAUGCCCCUGUUUAUUGUAACAUUCAUAAAAAUAAAAAAAAAUAGUUUCAAGAUAAAAGAAAAAUCAGAACAUUGAUAAAAAGAAAUGGAGAACAAGAUCAAUAUAGUAAAAGUAUUGAAUACACGUGAGAUUCUUAUAACAACUCCAUCUUUGAGUUUGAUGUUAAAGUGAAUCAGCUUCCAAACUAGAAAUUCCUUACUUAACCUUCCUAAUUUAGGAAGUACUUGAAAAUGCCUCAGAAAAUUAUAAAGGCCCAGCAAUCUAAGAUAAAGAUUAUACCUAUUCCACAAAGAGGGGUAUUGAAAACUCUCUGUUACCAAUCGAUUCAGCUACCUGUUGUUUAUCUAAAUACCCCAAAGCCCACAUCUUCUCCAAAUACCUAGGCACUAUGAAGAACAGAUUAUUGAAAAGGUAAGUUUCUGUACAGCUGACAAUGUAUGGGUUCGCAUGGUACAAAUAAGCCCCCUGCAUUGUUGGGUUCAGUAUUAAAAAACAGACGGUUUGGCUGAUUUUUCAGGCAUCUAGCAAACUAUGUAAAAACCUGCUUAGUUUAUUAAUGUUGAAUUGUCUAUGGCAUUGUUUUUUUAAUUGGUUGGUUGCUUAAUUGUUGGGCAUUAUUGGGCUUCAGAAUUUCAGCUUUUUGGCCAAAAAAAGAAUAUUUAAAAGCUGAAAAGGCCGUUGCGAAAUAGCAAUCUUCUUUUCAUAAAAGCAGCCAAAAAUUGGGAUUAAAAGUUGAGCCAAAUGGCUUUGCAUAUCUUUGCCAUGUAAAACUAUCAUAACCAAUCUCCACUUCCACCCAUCACCCAACCCCCAUCGACAUAAUGAUGUUUAGACAAGCAUACUUGAUUCAUUGAUGCAGGUAUAACCCUAAUGCGAUAUAUAAAACAAUGUCACAGAGGUGGCAAGCAAGCAGAUUGAACACAAAGAAAAGAAGAUAGAUGCAUGUCACAUGACUAUAAAUAAUACAGGCAUCAUGGUUCGCAUGCAUGUCACAUGACUAUAAAUAAUACAGGCAUCAUGGUUCACAUGCACGUAGAAGAACUAAUGCAUGGUAGUUAUAAUUGUAAAGCUGUUCAAACAUCGGUAAGAAAACAAGUAGCUAAUCAUAAUUGAAUGUGCACUGAUGAGUCAGGGUUGAGGGAAGAUGCAGAAGUUCAAAAAAAAGAGGGGAUAAGUCAGCAAGGCAGUCCCAAAGGUUCAAUGAAACAGAUCUACAGGACAACGGAUAACAACUACCAAGUACAGGCAUGAUGUAAGCACCGACAUCAGGACACGCAAUUUAAAUAUAAAAAAAAGGAUACAGACAUGGCAGGGAUAAGGCAGAAAGUAUAUACUCCCUCCCUCUCACAAUCUCAGUCCCUUUUAGAAGUUUCAAUUUUUUAAGGGGACAUGCAUUCAACACACCUUAAGCUAGAGAACUAAAAACAUGGUAAUACAAAAAAAGAAAAGAAAAGCAACUAACAAACUCACUGACCUCAUCACCAAACUAAUGUAGUUUGAUUUUAGAACUCAACUCUGAAGUAUGAACAUGCAAUAUACAACAAGUAUUGUCCUAAGCGUCCUGAGAUACGUAUGUCAUGCCCAGUACAGGUUAAUAAAGAUUCACCACGAGGCGUGUCUGACAUGCAUUCCGGCACGUCCGACACAUGCCAUACACUGCUACAACAGCUAAAAUGAAGUAUUUGUGCUUCAUAGUCAUUCUCCUUUCAUAAAAUGAAUGUAGAGAAAAGUACACAACUUUUCACAAGUAUUGCACGGUAGAGCUAAUUGGUUAUGCAUAAUGCAUUGUAUGUUUUAAGUCAGUUCCUAAUCAUUUCCUAUAUGUAAAUCCCUUUGCAGUGGAGAAGGCACUGCAGCUAUGAGAGUUGAGAACCAAUCAACUGUGCCAAGCUAAAGGGGGUCUUUUAAGAAUCUUUUACUGAUUAUAGGCACCUCAAAUUCAUAAACUAGAAAUUAAAAAAUAAGCAAUUGGUCCAAACGAAAAGCAGUGACCUUCACCAAGAGAAACAUAAGUUAACUUGGACCAAUGAUUCACAGAUAAUAUCAAUUCACUCGUCUUUUCCCUUAAAUAAUUAUUGGAAACAGAUCUAACUGUGUCAUAAGAAGUCAGCUAGACAUUUAUGCCAUGUUUGAUAACAUAUUCUAAUUUAAUGGGAUUAGCAAUCCAAUCCCAAUUUCCUUAGAUUAAUAGUCCCAUGAGAUUGGAUUAGUAAUACCAACCACCCAUGGGAUUCCUAAUCUCCAUUUUUGGGAUUAACAGCCCCAAUGGACUAUUAGUCCCGAGUUUAACUUUUGUACUAAAACAUGAUUAAAGUGAGCCCCACAACAGACUAAUAGUCCAAUCCCACUCUCAAAAUCUUAUAUCAAACGAAGCCUUAAAGAACAACAAUCCCAAGUAUAAUCUGUUAUAAUCAAGUCCCGAAAUUGUUGAAGCCAAGCGAAAUUACAGAGUACAUAGUAGAAAUGAAUACACACGUAUCUGUACAGAUUAUAGGGUAAUGGAGGGGAUACUGAUUGUAGGCAUAUCAAAAACAUAGGAAACUGAGUCAAAUGAAAAACGGGGACCUUCUUCACCAAUACAAAAAUAAAUUAAUUUGGCACCAAUGGAUCACAUAUAUGAUAUCAAUUCAUUCUUCUUUCCUCCUAAAUAAUUCUUGAAAUCAGAUCAAAACACGUCAUAAAAAGUCAGCUAACCAGUUUAAGAGCAAUAAUCCCAACUAAAAUCUACAAUCUAUCUAAGCCAAGAGCAAAUUAUACAUUAGAUAGCUAAAAUAAACACAUAUAUAUACAUGCAAAACCCAACCAUAUAUAUACAGAAUUGAAUUAAAGAGAAAAAGUAGUCGUAAAAGGGUAAUUGAACAAAAUGUAUGUAUAUACCGAGGAUCAGAAUCCAAGGUUAUGUGAAGGGCUUGGUUAAUUGCAGAGAAGAGUUUGCUGCCUGAUGGGCUUUCCUCAAAUUUCUGGCCAUUUUCAAUUAAACAGAUUUUGUACAGAUAAAGAGAGAAAAGGUCGAUUGAUUGUAGUAUUGAACACUACUCUACGUUCCAAACAAAACUUCGAACAAUACCGUGUCGACUUAAAGCGAAACGGAUAGAUAUGUGGGUAUGUAAACUUCUUUAUAUCUUUAAGACUGUUUGUAUAAUAGUAUUACCUACUUAAAUUUUCAAUUAAAAUAGAUUUUCGUCAUUUUAAAAUUAAAAUUAAUAUUAAUUUUUAUGCUACAUACACCUCUUUAGAAUUAAACUCAUGUGUUCAUCCUUAAAUUAUCACCCAAUUGUACGCUAAUUACAAAUUUACAACACCAAUGACGUAUCAAAUUCACGUUGUCUCAUUUAAGUACAGACGCAUAAUUUUAAUGUUACUUCAACCGUUGCUGUUCUAUUAUGUCCAUUUCUGGUGAAACCUAUCCCAACAAUUAAUUGUUAUUAUUUUGAGUAUGAUUUCAUGUGACUUGCAGUACACACCUUCACUUUGUCAAAGACUCGUGGUCAUUGUGUUCUUGAGUUGAGUAGUGUUUAAUCCAUCUAACCAAAAAGAUGAACGCAAUGCAAGUGUGCGGCCCCCCACCAGGUCCAUAACCAUCUGUAAGAAAUAAUUCUCAAUCUAUUUUAGUUGUACUAUUUAAUGUCCAAUUACACAUGUGUCUUUUUUUUUUACUUAUUAUUUUCCUAUGCCAACAAAAAUUUACAUGUACAAUCGAAAAAAUAAUUAUUCAUUCAUUAUAUUUACGCUUCCAUACCUAAUUUUUCUCCUUAUAUAUUCUUAGGCUUCCAUACCUUUUUGUUUGUUAUUAUUUUUGCUUCCAAACUCCUAAUUCAACACAGCCUUGACUAGAUUAAGAUCGUGAUGGUGGUACAGGAAAAGCUAACUACUCGUCCAGGACAAUCAGAGGAAAGUCUUAAUAUUGCAAAAUCACCAUGGGUUCUUUAUGAAUGAAUGGAUAUGAAUCCUGUAUAGUUUCCUUUCAUGUGUAUCCGUUGUUAUGAGAACUUUGACAAUUGAUCUUUGCAAGAUUUACAUCAAAAAUGAGAGACGAGAGAGAGAGAGAGACAAAAAUACUAUUAAUUAGACAAUGCGACCACAAUUCUAGAAAGAGAAUGAUUGAAGGCACGAGACGCGUGAUUAGUUCAUUGCCUGGACAAAAAACACUUGAGAUAAGCAGUUUUUAACACACAACAACUACAACUGCUUUGGUAUUGGAAGCGUUUCUACAUUCAAACACAAAUAUUAUUAUUAUUAUUAUUGUCAAACACAAUUUUAAUUUAUAACAACUUUAUAUUGCACUACAAUUUUUCCCACCUUGCAGCUUCUAGCUCUCUAAAAACACAGCAACAAAAGCUCCUUUGGCAACAACUAGACACUCACUAGACUAAGAUUUACAAAUGAGAUGGGACAUAAUAUAAGGCCAAACUAUUAAAUAAAAGGUGAUAGUCCAAAAAAAGAAAAAGGGAGACAAACAUUAACACGGGAAAAGAUAUUAAACCAACCAAGGUAAAUGGAAAGGAAAACGGAAAGACAAACAAAAAAACGCCAGGAUACCACCCCGAGACACUGUCAGAACUAACCGCUACAAGACCCCUAUCCAUCAUGAGAAGAAAGAGGCUCCCACUUUCAUCAUUCUACGAAAUAGAGCCCGCCUCACCACUUUCCAUGCCCAUUCAUUUUGUUAAUCCAAGAAAGCAGCAAGGCCGAUCACGCAGGGUGGCCCAACCGAGAAUUAGCCAGCUUUUUUUUUUCCCACUGUAUAUCAUUAUAAACCAGCAAGAUAUCUCUGGACAGAUGGAGCCCGUAAAACAUCAUAGGCCACCCGUCAAGACAAAGCUAGCAACCAUUUGUCAGAACUCCUAUUCUCAGACAUGGAGCUGAUUCAGCACCGUUGUAGUUGUCUCCACAUUUUGCAACGGUUACGUUUUUCUGAAAGAUUAACAUCCCCACAUUAUGAACAGGGAAUUAGACUCGCCACCAAAUUCAGAGGCACAUCUGUUUCAGUUUCCCCAUUUGCCCCUUCUUUGUUUCUUUUCAAUCAAUUGGCUUCCCUUCCCAUACCUGUAAGGACUUUUCAUUAGGACCAGUAAACAGAUCAGCUUAGGUCUUACAAAUAUCUCGAAAAAAAAUAAUUUAGAGUGUCAAAUGGAAUUUCCAUAACAUAACAGGGAAAAAGUAAACCUGACUAAUUAAUAGGAUUGGCUGGCCAUCUCACACUGACAAAUUAUACUGAAUUGUACUAUUUCAUAUGACGGCAUAAUAUUCGUCUUGGCUGCUUUGGAACUGCUGUUUCUUGGCCUUCUUCUCCUGAAUUGUAUUCUGGCGCCCUCGUAAAAUCAAAAUCCAUCCACGAUGCAUGUCCUGCUAGAAUGUCCUUAAAUAUUUUGAGCAUUUAGCCCCUGCUCCAAUUUGACCUACAUAAAUCGCAUGGAACUUGGGAUUAAAAAAAGAAAUAACAAACAAAACAAAUAAAAAAGAGCCACCAGAAAAACACAUACCUCUUGAGUAUCCCUACUGUUAGUGACAGGUUUGUUCUCGUUAUUCUCCAGAGUGAUGUGCUUCAACAGACUAUUGGGCACAUCCUUUACAAUGUGCCACUUGACAGGGAAGCAACCAUUCCAUUUGUCUUGCUGCCAGUACUCAAAAUUCUUGUGGAAAUCAACAGGCCCUACCAUCUCUGCAAUACCGACAAAUUGUCCACUAGUAUUGACCUACUCACAACAGUUCAAGAUUAGUUGCUAAACCAAGCGAAGUCAAGAAAGAAAAAAUCCUAAUAAAGCAAUCAAUGUAACUGCUUACUGAGAACAAGAGAAAAACAGGGCAGCCACUAGACUUCUGCUGAGCCUCCUGGUAUGCUGCAUCAAGCUUUUUAUUGCCAUUUGGAGUGCUAGCCCACACAUUAUACUUGAUGCUCUUGUGGACAUCAUCCUCACUAUAUGACUUAAUGAUGAAGAAUUUCGCAUCUCUAUAACUUUCAGGGAAAUCUGCUUUGUUGUAUUGUUCUCGAUCUGGAAUCAUGCUUACCUUGUCCUUCUCAUCAAUAUUUGUUGCAUGCAACGGGAUGUUCUGCCCUUUCACCGCCACAAGAACCGGAGUAAACCCCUUUUGGUUCUUACUGCUCUUUGCUCUUGGUCCCCUGUUUAGCUCAUUCAAGCCAUCCACAUUCUCAUUGCCGUAACCAAAGAAACCAUUGUUUCGCCCCCUGGGUUUGUACUUGCUAUCAACACUCAACCACUCACGUCCAUGUGUUCGUGAAUCAUAACUAUUAGAACCAAAUGGAAAACCGGAUCUGAAGGUGCUCCCAUACUGGCCAUACAAUUUGUUUGGGUACAUCCCAUUCACAUAUCCAUUACCUGUGUUCAAGCCAGACAUUGGUCUCGGUUGGUGCAAACCCUGCAAAUACGAUGAGAAGCUUCCUAUCAGACAAAUUCUAUGCAUAAAAUCAAUCUAGAAAACAUGGAUCAUAAAAUAAUUUCAAAGCAAGUUUCAAAAUAUCCAACUGAUCAACAUUAUAGAACAUCACAAUAAAUAAAACUCAGUUUCACUAAUCAGACGAAAGCUACAUUAAAAGUUGAAUCUGCUGCUAUUUACUCCCUAAAUGGUUUUAGAGAGGAUCAACCAAUUCACGUGGUUCACAACCUUCCAAUAUGAAUCCAAAUUCAAUGACUGAACUGACUUGAGGAGUUCAGGUGCUAAUUCAUCCUUUUCUAUAUGGAAAACCGGUAUAUAUUUCACAGCACUAGCUGUCUGCAUCAAAACAAUUGCCUUACAUGGAAUAAGAUAACAUACCACAAGAUGAGAAUGAGGACGAUAAUUCUGACUCUUUGAUGAAGGUGUGCUGUUUGCAACCGAGAUUGAUGAAACCAUUGAUGUGGUAUUCACAGGCCUAGGCUGCCCGUCAGGAAAUAUUGGGGCAUCCAACCAAGGGAUGGGAGACCUUAAACCAUCAAAGCUAAAUCUGGGAUCUUGAAAUCCAGAUGCAGGAAGUGCUCCAGGCAGACCACCCCUUCCAUAAGAACCAUUUGAGUUAAAUGAUGAAUUCUGAUAUGUUUGUUUUUUGGGUGCAGGUCCAUUAUUUCCCUUUCCGACCCCACUGUUAGCAAUGCCAUUUGAGUUUCCAUUAGCAGCUCCCACGGAUAAAGGUGUUUGGUCAGCAUCUAUAGAGGUGGAAAUCUCGCCUUUAGGAGGAACAACUGAAGGCGGGUUGUAAGGCGCACUAGUUGGAGUCAGGGAUUGGAAAUAUGGAGUUGGAUACUGGUAACUCUGAGCCCCAUAUAGAUGCCCAUCGUGUCCCAUAGUUGGAACAGGGGAGGCAGCUGGUGAAUAAGGGCCAUAGGGUGCAUACCCAUAACCCUGGUGAUACAUAAGCGACCCGUUGUCCCCAUAGACACCCUGCCAAAAGUGUAACAAACAACGUUAGAUCACAAAUUACCAUGAAUAUGAUCCUGAAUCCAAACAUGACAACCCAAUUAUGCAAUUGUAAAGCUAACUGAUACAUGCUUUCAAUCACAUUUCAUAACUGCACUCAACUCAACAAGUCUUUGUCCCAAUUGACUGGGCUACAAGGCUUUAUUUUUUCCAGUUGAAGCUAUUCAAAGUCAAUAUAUUCAGAUUAAUCGUGUCGUUUUCAUUUACCUCCGUCCAUGCGGAUCAAACAUUCGACACAGGAGCAUUAUUUCAACAUAGACCAAAAUUCAAAUUAUAAUAACAGCAAAAGCAGAAGUAAAAAAAUCAAAGCACACUUACAGCAGGCAUUUCAACUCCCUCCGGAUUUAAAUAUCUUGAGUAGUCAUCCCAAUCAUUAGCAGUAUCAUAACCUGGAAAAAAGAAAUGUUCAGUAAAAUCAUUAACAAACCGUGAUUACCCUUUUUAAUAUAGAAAUCAUCAAAGAGGAAUAGUAUAACUAUCCAUUCCUCAUAAUAUGUACAAUUCAAAAUAAAAUAGUACUAUCCUCCAACCAAUUCAAGUUAUAGUUUUAUAGUCCGCAACAGAACUUAUGGACUCAAAGAAAACAACUUACUUCCAUAAUAAUAUGGAUAACUAUUGGGGAAAUAAUACAUGGAUGGAUCCACGAAAUCCUGCAGUAAUGGCGUCAUAGAUCGAUCAUACAACUGGAUCUGAGCAUUUGUAGCAUCACCUGACUCAGCAGAAGGCUGUGCAGAAAAUAAUGAUAACUUUAAGUCAAUCAUCCAUAACACCAGCUUAUUCCUAAGAUAUGCUGAAAAUAAAGACAAUCACCAAAAAGUAACAGGAGAAGAGUUGCACAUCACCUUCUUUGUAGGCUCAGGAAUUUCUAGGGUCUUGGCUUGAGAAUCCAAUGAUAAUUUUUGCAGCAGAUCUGUAGCUUCUAAUGAAAUACAAGUGAAGGAAAAUCCACAAUUUUCAGAUAGCAAAACAUAGAAAUAACAGAACAUAACCAACUUUCCCUCAAUCCAUGUCCAAAACUGAACCAAACAGUCUUACUUAUAUAUUACCAUUUUGGUUCUCUCCUGUCCGAGUAUGGACCGCAAGAGUCCAGUCCAGAGCAUAAAAUUGUAAUACAUCGACUCUUUACAUAAAUUAAAGGCCCGGAUUUGUCAAACACUCGCAAAAUCAAAAUUGGACAAAAAGUCGGGGUUAAUGAGUAGAUUAAAUUUAGACCUUUCAUUUACAAAAAAAAAAUGUGCCUAUCUUGGGACCUGACUGGAAAUAAGGCAACUUUAUGUGAAAUCUCUGAAUCCAGAUCUUGGAGCAAAAUUACAAUAACAAGUAGUCCAUUUCAGCUAACAAAAACACAAAAAAAUAAUCUUUUUUCUCAAUAGAUGAUCUUUUCAAAAAGCCUCCACUCAAUAAGAGUAACAAUCACAAGCAACAUCAGACUAGUAAAAACAUAAGCAAACCAGAUACACCAAAUCAAACAACAGCAGCAGCAAAACCGAUCCAUAUAAAUAACAAUUCCUCCAACUUCUCAAAUCAUAUCAAAUCUAUGCAAGAAUUUCACACAUCUCAUGUCCAAUCAGUUAUAGACUCAAACAAGAAUUCCUAAAAGAUCUCCAAUAUUCAAAUCCAGACCCUAGACAGCAAAGAAGAUACACCCCUACUAGAUCCAUAUUACUGUCCAUCAAAAACAUCGUGAAAACAAACAGAACCAAAUCGUAUAUACAAAAAGCCUGUUGGAUCUAGAAAAUCAGAUCCGCUAAGAAUUCGAAGAAAAAGGCAAAAGUCAAAUGUAUCCGAUAGAGCUUGGUAAGGAUACAUCUGCGGGAGGAGCCAUGGUGGCCAUGAGCGAUCUCGAAGGGACGAUGGUCUAAAACCCUAAAUCUGAUUGAGGUUUGAGGGGGAAGCGUGGAGAGGGAGACCCGGCGGAAUUCGCCGCCAAGCGAGGGAUGACUUUGGGUUUAGAGAGAAAGAGGAGAGAGGGAGGCCGGGGUUUUGAUCCAUCCAAAAGUGGUGAUUCAAAUAGCCCACGGUUUCACAGACACCCUGCCCCUCUCUAUUCUCUGUAAUUCCUUUUGGGUGCCCCAAUCGACGUCCCCUGCGGGUGAUACUAUUACGUCUCGUUUUGAUUGUUUAUUGCUGCAAGGUAUGCCACGAAGGGCAGCGACCACACCACAACUUUGCUCCUUUGACCUCUUGAGAACACAAUUUGUCUGUGAGAUCAUACUCGUACGCAGCAGGUGAGUUUGUGAUUCCAGCUGUCACCAUUCCUUGGGGGCCAAAGCCCUCCCACCCAUGGAAAAAAUUGGACAGAAAGGCUCAUUCACCGGAUGGUUUCCGAUUUGUUCCCGAUGGAACCAAAACGACGUGCGGUUUGGUGUUAAAAAGUUUUUUUAGUUGCAUCACGGUAAAGAAUCAAUUAGUUGAGGAAAAAAAAAAAAAAAAAAAAAACGUCGUUUUAGAUUUUUUGCAUCAAAACGACGUCGUUUUGGUCUAUCAGUAAUAAAUCGGUAAAACUAUCGGUGACUGUAGCAUUUCUCUAAAUUUGGAAGCCCCCGUCCUAAAAGGCUUAUUGGUCUUGGGCUUGCUUGACAGAGGGGCUCAUUUCUUUUCUUUUUUCUUUUUUGUUGAUGACAUGUCCCAAAAUAACACAAUAAAAUCAUGGCACGGAUUUUGGAUCAUCUGAAGUGUAUGUUGUGUGGAUUAUUCUGGAGCGUACACAACACGUUCACUUUCUACAUUCCAUAUAAACACACACAUUCGAGGAUCCGAACUCCCCCCAAAGGAGUCAUGAUAAGGAACCAAAAUAUUAAAAAUAUACCCAAGACUCAACUCUAACACCCCGUUUGGAGGUGGAUAUAGCACCCGGCUUUAAUCUCACCCGGAUUUAUAGCCCGUCCCAACUCAAACCGACAUUUAGGGGAGGAGGCUGUCUACCCUCGCUGUGGUAGCUGUUUGCGAUACAAUCCCAGUGCCCUCGUUUGUCAACGACGGCCUCCACCCCAUAGUGGGGGGGCGUCGGGGGGGGGGGUGGGGGGGGGGGGGGGGGGGGGGGGCUAAGCAAAGCUACACCGAGUUUGUACUUUGUCCCUCUUUUACCCCUUCCAAACCAGGAUCUUUGUGCUGUGUUUCUUUGAUUUCGUUUUGCCCUAAUUUGACACCCUUCCAUUUGUGCCGAAAGGUUUAGUAGCCAACGGGUAAGUUUAACCCAUCUCGUCGUUUCUUGAUGGUUUGCCCUAGUUUUUGAGAUAUAUUUGGUUAAAAUUGUUUGCAUAAGUGCUAUGCGUUGCUGCGUCCUCUAUGGUUUCGAUUUGCCCUAAUUUUGGUUUCGGGUUUGCACCUAAUCUUUGAUUCGAGGGUUUGGCUUUGAAUUUGGUGAUGGAUUUGGAGUGUUGUGCCCUAAUGGCGUGCUAUAAUUUCAGGUAAUUUGUGGUUUGUCCUAAAUUUUCACUUUGGCUGGGUUGCCCUAAUUUGCGAAUGGAUGUUUGCCAUAGGCAUUGUUCAGGUUUUAUCCCUUUCAGUAAACACCAAAAUAGGACAAACCUAAAACUCACCUCCCAAGAGAAGCUGCCGAAUUUCUAUUUUCUACUUUAUGUGGAAGUUUUGCCCUUUUUCGAACCACAAAAUCACACCACAAUAAUGUAUUGAAACAGAGCAAGACUAACGCAGCGUGAACGAUGAGGAAGGGUCAAUACGUAAAGUUGUCUAUAAAUGUUAUGCAUGAUGAGAGUAAUGAACACUAUAUUAUGCUUACAUGUUAAUUAUGGACUCAUGAGGUUCGCGAGGGGCCUUGUAUUCGAUUAACCCAAAUGUUUACAAAAUAAGUGGAUGCAAUUUAAUAGGUUAGUACGCGGUGAUGGAAAAAGCUUGCACGAUCAAUUGAGGGUAAAUAGGCUACAUAGAGUGUGCCAUUUACUUGAAGAAAAACGGUUACAAAAACUCUAGGAAAGUUAUACUUGUGAAAAAGUGGCUUAAUGUCUAUGGAUCCUCGGGCUCAUAACAAGAAAUACGGCCAACGAUAGUUCCAAUUUUUGAGGUCCGGGGGAAACAGUUCGUAGGCAUUUUACGCAGUUUUGUUGGCGGUUACGACUGUACGCUCAAAUUGUGGUAUCGUCCACCAACCUGUUUCUUGCUAAUGAUCCGUACCCAACCUGUUUACGCUCAAUAGUAGGCGGGUUUUAUUGCAGUUUUUUAGUGUGGAUUAAACUGUGAGGUAUAGUUGUAUUCUUUGGUGGAUUUUGGGUUGAUGUUGUGCCAGUUUUUGACCAAUUGUGUGCAAAUUUCUGUGCACUUUUAAUCUACUGAGUUAUACAAUUUUUUUUUCGCAGUUGUGGGAUUAGUUUGUGCAUUUGCGGUGCAGUUGUUUGGGUUUGGUUUGUAGUUUUUUGGGUGGAUUUGCUGUGCCAAUUGGUGUGAUUUGCUGUGCAAGAUUAUUUUUGAUAGUUUUCUGGGUUCUUUUUGUGUGCAAAUUUUGUGCACUUUUUCUCAACCAAUUUAAGUUAGGCACUGACUGAGUGGCUGAUGAAGACAAUGGCUGAAUAACCAUUGGCAACGGAGUUGGGCAGCAAAUCCACCCAAAGGUAUGUGGGCCUUAUGAUGCCAAUGGGUUAAUAACUAGUUGACAAUCUAAAAGUUAUACUAAGUAGUGCAUUAUGAGCCCAACAAAAAUAAGUCAGGCCAAGUUAGGCAUAAAUAAUGCCUAGAAAACUGCACAAAUGUUUACACAAACUGGAUAGUUUGUAGUUACUUGAUUCUUAUGCAUCAAGUAAGUACUCCUAAUGAUGCGGUAUGAUAUCAAACUAUUUGCGUCAGUAUGUUCAUAUAUUGUUAAAGGAUAUGAUGAUAUUGAUUUGUUAGGCAAAGCACACGUAUAUGUUUGCAGGAAUGUGAGGGCCAACGGUUGAGUCACCGUUUGGGCAACAUAAUUGUAAAUAGCCGUGUGUGGUAUGUACGGAGAAAUUAUAAAAAUUUGAGCCCCGUACAUAUAUAAAAAGAAUUGUGUUAGUAUUUGUUCCAUUAAAACGUGAGCAUUGUUUAUUUUUUUCGAAGAGCCUAACACUGGCAGGUAAAAAUACAGAGAAUACAUUUUGGGCUGGUGUUUGUUGGACAUCGGCAGGGAAUUACAACAAUUGUUUUUUAGGAGGCGGCUCAAGUCCAAGUCAAUGGAUAUUCGAGGAGUUAAUGGAAAAAGUACAACACAUUAGAUGAUGCUGAAAUAGCAUGCCUUAAUUUUAAUUCGGCGCAUUUAGUGUAAAAGCCGUGCAAUAGAAACAAAGGAAUCGUAAAAUAACAAUGACGGGGCGUAACCUCCGCAAAUUGACGAAAAAAACUCCAGCUCCUUAUUGAAUUUCUUCUUAGGUUUUCUAGCUUGUAUUUGUUAUACGUAUUUUCGAUUCGAAUGAAUAUGUAUGUGCCAAGUCAAUUAUGUCAAACGAUUGGCUUUAUUGUCAUUAGAAAAAAGUAGUAUGUAAGUGUAAUAUAUUUCUAUGUUUCAAAUUAUAAAAAUGGUUCCAUUAUUAAAAACAAAGUAGACAAAUAAAAUUUUAAAUUUUCAUUCCAUGAUUUUUAAUGAGCAGAUUAUUUAUCAUAAAUAGGGUUGGAAUAUUUCUAUUUUAUUAAAUGUGUAUUUUUUUUUAUUAUUAUGUAAGUAUGGUUAUUACAAACAAAAUCAAACCAUUUAGUCAUGAAAUUAAUACAGGGGGGGGCAAAUAAGUCAUUGCUAUAAAUCCACCAUCAAAUCCCCCUAAUCAAAAUAACAUCAACAGUCUACUAACAAAUUCACCAUUCUUCGAUGUGGGGUCACACCUCUUUACAAUCCACCUUUUACACUACCUAAAUCCUCCGGUCGCCCAAAACGGGGUGUAAGGAGUUCUGACUCCUAGGCAUGGAAGGUACUAUUUAUCUAGAUUAUAAUUAGUUUUACUAAAAUCCAAAUCCUCUGUAAUGGACUUGUUGUAUUUCAUGGAUUUUAUGACUUGGAAUUUUCUUUUAAUAAAAAAAUUUAAUAGCAUGCUGGAAGCCUUGCUCAAAUCAACAUUUCUUCACAUCUUAAUAGCUAAAAAAAAACAAAACACAAAUGUGUCAUAAUUCGUAAAUAGGAGUAAUAGUAUCCACAAAAUUCAAAUACUUUACAUCUUUUAUGCAAUCCUAUCAAGGCGUUCUUUAAAACUAAAAGUUAAACAAACUUGUGCUUCCUUUUGUUUUCGGUGGGUUAGAAUGGUGAAAAAGUUAAUAUGAUCCGUAAUUUACAAAUAAAGACUCAUUACCAAGCUAACUAUGACAGCUCUAACUCGCUAGGAAAUUAGAAUUGUUACAAAAUUUCACAUGGAUUCGAUAUAACAGCCAAAGCUUUAGAAUUGGAUACAAAAUUUUCCAUAUGAUAAAAAUAGGUGAGAAAUUAUUUUCAUGGCUGUAUCCUUUCCUUAUAAGUUUCCUCCUUUGUUUUAUUUGAUUUUUAUCACGAUCUGCCAUCGGUAGUUUCUGGUGUCUUUGGUCCUUCUCCUACACCAAGUGGUUCCCAGUUGGGUUAUUUUGCUCUUGUUAUCCAGCCAAACACUCUCUGGAUUCCACUUGCAUUCCAUAGCCUACUGAAAUCAAUAGAAAAGGCAAAGUUCCAUACAGGAUGCAUUCAUUUUCUGAUGACCCAUAAUAGCCAAUUGCAAUAGCAGAUUUUGAGCAGAGCAACCAUCUCAUAUGUACUAGCUUGACAAUCAAAUUUAGAAAUGACGAAAAGUCGAAAACCAAAGACGUAAAUUUGAAAUUUGAAUAGGCAAGCAAAAUAUCACACUUGCAUUUCGUUUCCUUUUUCAUUUACCCUAGAAUUAGAUAGGGCAGUAAUGAAGGAACAUUGUAUACAAACAGAAGUAGAUACUUUAUUGUCAAAAGUAGCACCCAAACAAAACUCCAGAGGGUAAAAGCAACAUCAAGAGGAAACACAAAUCAGUGGGCUCUAAAUGUUCGCCUUAUCAACUGCGGAAUCAUCCCCAUAAAUAGUACUAGCAGUGCCGACAAGCACAACCAGUGGACUCCUAACAGAGUGGAACCCAUCAGACCACACCAGCUCACCAAAAUCAUACCUCCCUUGAGAUUUCUUCAGUGGCUUGAAAGUCGCAUAGUGUGACACUUCUUCCCUAAAACAUGAAAAUAUCAAUACCCUUGGCCACACCACAACCUCCAUGCCAUUAGGCUUCACAAUCCUUGCAAAAUAGAUGGCUGCUUUCUUCCACCCAACGUUGCAAACAAUCCUCUUGAUGGUCACCGUAGACUGGAGAUUUGAGACCGUUAUGGAGGGGUAAUUCAGGUUUUCGUUGUAUAGGUAUGACCCUUUGAGGCAGCUCAAGAUGGUACUUGGGGAGAGAGUAACAAUGCUGUUUAUUUGGUCUAUGGUGUAGCCAAUGUUGCAGGGGAAGAGAAUGUAAUAGCUGGUUUUCACGUCAUAGACUAGCCCUGGAUCCAUUGCUCUCAAUGGAUCGAAGUGGCCAGCGCCAAUGUCAAGCGGAUCAGCUGCUUUCGCUAUGCCCCCGAAUAAGAUACUGUCCUAGGUUGUGUCGCUUGUGUAAGCUUUAACAACAAAGAGAAAGAGCAGGUCAGUAGGAGUUAUUGAAUGUAAAUUAAAUGCAUUUUAAGAACAUUAGUUGAUAUCAUAAUAAUAGGUACUCUUACUUAAGGUGAAAAUAUCGUAAGCAUUUGCUAAAGCCCUUGCAAAAUAGUGAAACAAACAGGAGUUUCGAGUGGCAUGACUUUUGUAUUUUCAUCUAUUGUUCAAAAUAGUGAACUGUUCCAGAAAUUGUUCCAGGAAACUUUUCUAAAAUCAUUCCUCUUAGGGGCACUUUUAAGUUGUUUUCUGAAUGGAUAAUGAUUUUCACAUUCCCAUUUUCUUUAAUUGCACUCCAUUUUUUUUGUCUUUAUUAAGUGAAAUUACCCAAAUGCCCUUAUAUGUGGCUAAAACAGUUAAGCAAAAGUAAUUUAGAAAAUAUAAAUACAACGGUAUUUGGGGUAGUUUUAUCUAAUACAGAAAAAAAAAACGAGUGCAAUUGGAAAAAAAAUGAGAGCGAAAAUCAUCACCCUUUUGGAAUUUCACAAAAAAGUGAAACUUAUGGAAAUUUUCAGUCUGUUUAAUAUAUUUGUUCUGAAAAGGUGGAUAACAAAGCAAAAAACAAAAGCAAGAAAAAGAAGGUGAUACCAAACGGGGAAAUUGCCAAGAUUAGUUGGACAGGUAUGGAAACAAAUUUUCCUUAAAUUUCAUCUGGUUCCUCCAAAUGAGGCUAGGUUUUUAUGUAUCAACAUCAAAAGUAAAGGAAUUCGAGUUGGUUUUCAGUUGUAAUCGAAUGAAAUGUUACACUUUUGGGAGGACAAGUGGAGGUCAUUCUUUUCUUUGGUGCGCAAAUGGUGUGAGGUUCCUAAUCACCUCUGCCUCACAUGAUGAAAUGAAUGCCUAUAAAUAUGUGUGACCAGACUAUUUAAGUGGGGACCAACAGCCUUUUGGUUCUAGAUCUCAUGCAUGGUCCAUGUCCUAAUAUCAAAGCAUCUAACAAAAUGGUGCAGAAGGGCUAUGAUAAUUGUGAUAUAUUUUUUUCCUUGUGUUUACCUGUAGUCAAUAGAGCGGAUCUGAUAGCUGCAGGAGACCGAUGAGGGUGUGCUGAUUUGAGGAGGGCUACUACUCCUGAUACAUAGGGCACGACAUUGAAGUCCCCGACAGAAAAUCCCAGUUCACAGACCGCCCAUCGAUUGGCAUCGAAGUGGGUGGGGUUUGGGGAGGCCAUGCUACUAGUAUGUUGAUCCCUGGAGCAGUUAUGUCGGGCUGUUUUGUGAAAGAUAUCAAUCUAAGUGAUUUAGGAGAGAGUACGGAUAAGUAUAAAACAACAAGAUAUGGACAAACUUCUCGUGAUCAUUGAGGUUUCAGGGGAUGCUGAAAUGUUGUUUCUACUUUUGAUAAAAAAAGGAACUCCGUUCUACUGAAAAGUUGAGCAAAGGAAGAAAGAAGAAAGUAAAGCCUCUCCCUCAGUCUAGUAGUAUUUAAUCACACUCGCUCCACACAACCUCUCCCCACAAACAAAAUGCCUUUAAAUGCCCCAUACUUAUUAGUAUCUUAAUCAUGCAGCAACAACUAUACCUUUUAAGUUAAAAGGCCCACCACAAAAUAAAAUCACAAAUAUAUAAUAGAAAUAGAAAUGAAACACCUCAAGAAUAAAAAUACAACCAUUUGAACUGCACAACACGCAUUGAAUUAGAAAGAGGUCUGUAUACCUUGAGAAUAUCAGGUGAAAGUGAGCUAGGCCCCCUGGAAGAAAACAAAGCAACUGUAGGUGCUGGUGACUGUUUGAUGACCGUCUUACCUGCUGAUAUCUGCACUACUGGUUGCCUUCAUUUUGCAUUACAUUUUGUUAGAAGCCUUUGUAAUAUAAGCACAGUUGACAACAACAACAACACAGCAUCAUUUCUACUUAUUUUAGGACAAGAACCGAUAGCACACUGGGUUUAAUGAGUUUAGUAGUUAGGUGAAGAUGUAAUUGGUCCCUAGGUAUGUGAACGCUUGCCUUACAACCUUAACUGCGUGACAUAUUGUUUAAAUUUCAAGAUCCAUUAAGGAGAAAAAAAAAAAGAAAGGAAUUUGAAAAUAUCAAACUAGUCUUGUGAGAUCUACAUGUUAUUAAGCUUUAUGAACGGAAAAUACUGUCGAAAAGUGACUAGAAAGGGGAGGUUACAUCAGUCUCUCCAUGCUUAAAUAAAAUCACAGUUGCUACAAGCAGCUAGCUGUGAUUAAUCUGUAAAUAUCCAAUGAUAUGUUACGCUUGGUUAUGUUCACUUACUUGGGAGGCAGAACAAGAUAAUGAAAGAGCUGAGUCCCUUGGAUAAUGUCUACAAGAACGGGGGGGAUGAUAUCCACAUCAGGAACCUGCCUGCUGAGAGGCUCGACAAAUAUCAAGGCUGAGGCAUUAGCCCUCCAUGCAGCUUCUUCUGCCACACCAAUUUACGCUGGUCCUACUAUGGAGAAACAUAAUAGUACCUUCCCUAAAGCUGCUUUCCUUAUCCAAUUCUGAGUCUUGCAAACCCUAUUAAGUUAUGAUUGGAUUGACAAUCUUAACAACUGAAAGCCAUGCACAGACACACACACACACACACACACACACAGAGAUGUUACCCAUUAGUAAAAUAAUCACUUGCAUCCACCAAUUUUGCCUUUAUUGGUUUGACCGUGAAGCUUUCUCCCUGGACAAACAGGAGUCAUAUAAGCAUUCGUACUGCAUGAUGUUACCCACCGUAGUGUGAAGAACAAGAUCAUAAUCUGAUUACUCAUGUUUAUAGUAUACAGAUAUUGUGCAACAAUUCAAGAACCAUUGAGGGUGGAGUGGAGUGGUACGGGAUAAGGAAUAGGUGGUGGAAACAAAUGGUUUGAACAGCUUUAAUGGCAGAACUAAUCUAUUUACCAUGAAGGAGAGUUUACUAUCCAGUAAUAUCUUGCUUGGAAAUGUUCGAUCAAUAGAUGGAGCCGCCAUGCAAAGGCUCCACGGUGCAACAUUCUGCACUAGAGAUGGAUCUGGUCCAUCAUUCCCUGCCGAAAACACCACACUAACACCCAUCUGCAUGGCAUGAAAUGAACCAAUAUCAGCAAAUGGUUUGAACAGCUUUAAUGGCAGAACUAAUCUAUUUACCACGGGAUAAGGAAUAGGUGGUGGAAACAAAUGGUUUGAACAGCUUUAAUGGCAGAACUAAUCUAUUUACCAUGAAGGAGAGUUUACUAUCCAGUAAUAUCUUGCUUGGAAAUGUUCGAUCAAUAGAUGGAGCCGCCAUGCAAAGGCUCCACGGUGCAACAUUCUGCACUAGAGAUGGAUCUGGUCCAUCAUUCCCUGCCGAAAACACCACACUAACACCCAUCUGCAUGGCAUGAAAUGAACCAAUAUCAGCAAUAGAUGCAAAGAAUAGAGGCAGUGGCGUUGAUACACCAAAAGAACCUGAUAUCACUUGGACCCCAUCAUGUAGCGCAUCAUCAAAUGCCACCAUUAUACCGGCUUCACUACACCUCCCAACAAGGUUUUUACUCCAACAAAUUUUGUACACUGCUAGUCGUGCCCUGGGGGCUCCUCCCCUAGCAGUGCCUUGUGCAAAACCGAAAAAGCUUGCAUUUUUAACAAUAGAUCCAAUUGCUGUUGAAGCUGUGUGAGUCCCAUGCCCAUCAAAAUCUCGAGCUGAUCGGUAUUCUGAGUUGCUGCUUGCGUUUAGAGGCCCAUAUUCUUCCUCAAACCCUUUGAGGUAGUAGCGAGCACCAAUUAGCUCCCGGUUGCAAGCUUUUGCUGGUUCAAACUUCUCUCCUGGAACACAUUUUCCUUCCAAGAUUUUGGAACUGGCCCCGUGCCAGGCUUUUCCUUGAAGCUAUCAGAUUCCGGCCAAAUAUCUAGCCAAUCAUUAUUAGAUGCAUUAGUAUAUUCAAAAUAUAGAUAAUAUUGCAUGCAAUAUUUAAAAGGGGAUCACUAACAAGAAGUUAGGUCUUUUUCAUUAAAUUUCUGACCAUCAAUUAAUCUAAAAGCUUAAGUUGUUAGAGAGUGAUAAUUUUAUUAUAGAGAAGGGAAAAAAAUGUAAUGUCAAUCCAUAACCAGUUGCUUAUUAUAAAUUGACACUCUGGUGUAUCAAAAGGGCCACUAAGUUUAGAAGCUGCAUGUUUUCAUUAUUAUUAUAUCAACAUGAAGGGAUUAUUAAUCAUUUGAAUAAGCACGUAUAGUCAAAACAAAAAUCUUCUAUAAACUUCAAUGCAAUGAGAGUGAUAGAAGAAUACACCAAUAGAGAAAUUCUAUGAAUGCUCAACCAAUUAGGUUACAGUUUCAAUAAAGAACAAGAAUAUACAUAUAUAGGUGAAGCUUGAGGAAGACCUGUAUCAAAGAUUCCAACUAUUAUAUAGGUUAAGCUAGUUGAAAUGGAGUUGCUUCACCGCUUGGUAAGGUCAGGCCCAAGAAGUCCCAGCUUCUUGUCGUGUGUAACUCAAGUAUUCUGCUCCUAAACACCAAUACCACUUCAUUCAUCUCUGCAGUUUAUUUCCUAAUUCCAUCAUUAAAAAAAAACUUCCUUCAGGCUUAAGAAAUCUUUUUGACAUCCACGAAAGCAUUUUUAGAAAGCAAGAGAAGCGGUUAUCUUAUAAUUACUAGCCAAGGCUGUCGCUUGGGUUGAAUUGAGCAUUGCUGAAAAACCAGAGAAACUAUGUUUGCAGCUGUACAGCAUUGAUUUCUCUGCCACUUCUUUCCUAUCAAAACAAAAGAAGAGGGAGAAAGAAAACAGAAAGAGAAAGAUUAUUAUUAAGAUUUAGGAAUAAGAGGGAUAAAGUAAACGCUUAGCAGUAGGUACCUUGCGAAGACAUUAGAGAGGAGCUGAAGAUUAUGAUUAGUAGUAAGGAGAGGAUCAUGGUUUCUGUUCUGUCCUAAGUAGACUAUAUAAACCUGCUUAAAAGAAGAACAUCGAAGAUAAUUAGAGAUGAGAUCAUUAGAGAAGAGAUUGAAAAAGGAGCACUUUUAGAUUUCAAUGACACAUACUUGAGAAAUGGAUAUUGAGUGAAUUAAAUAAAGUGAGAGUGAGAGGGAUAGGCACCAAAAACACUGACAAAAAGUGGCCAUUAUCUCCCAUGCAUGGGAAAACUCACAUCGAGGGCUGGGAUUAAAUAGCGAAACAAUGGUUGGUCUAUGACAAAGAUAUGGCCGUGGAAACAAUGCUUGUGGAGUGCGUGAAUUUGAAGGCUUCCAAAGCUGCAAGAACGCUGACAUCCAUCCAUUAGAACCAUCAUGAUGAUAUUUUCCCUUCCAAGCUAGUUGAUAAAGAGGGGCCAGGGUGAUUUGCACCCUCCCCCUUCUCCUUUUUCACAUAUUUACUUUAACUUGUAGUAGUACAAGCCACAAGGGUAUAAUUGGUGACUUACAGCCAAAGACUACCUCCAUAGUCCAUAGAGCUCCAUCAUAGUUGCUAUCACCACUGCACAAAGAAUGCAUGUGCCAUUCAUCAUUCUCAGGAGAAAAUUUUGUUUAGUUAGUUAAACUGACUAAGAUAACUGGAUUACCUUAUUAGUUACUACAAGUUGAAAGAUAUUUUUGUGAUUCUUACUUCUAAGUACAAAUGAAGAACAUUAAGUCAACACAAUGGCUUUCCUAAAUACCAAUACAUCUUACAUAAGACAAGGGACACAAAUAAAUUUUUAUUGAGGUAAUAUCCUUCAUUUAGGUCAUUCUGCCUUUUCAACGUACUUUCUGUAUUAAACUUUAAACACUUCUAUUAACCUGGACAAUAUCAGUUGCAUGAGACUAUAAACAUAUAGUAUACCUAUAUAUGAUAUUCUGAUCUUAUACUGAUUAACAUUCUGCAAAACUAAGUUUAACUCUGAUAGCCAUGAACUUAUAUAAAAAAUGUAGGGUUUUAAAAAAGGACAUGAUAAGUAUUUUUCUUUCAACUGAAUACGAACAUUCAGGUGUAGGCACUCUGAUGUCAAGCGACUUUCUGUUAUAUACCAUAAUCAUUACUUCAACUAGUAUAAAUAAAAGGCAGAAGAGAAUCAUUUAAAGGUAAUAUAGGCUUUGUGGGGGGACUUUGUAAUAGGAACCAAAUUUAUCCUCAGUAGCAACAUAACAAAUCUAGUGAGCAGUACAUACCUAGAAAAGGCCUUUCUGACCUUUUAGGCAAACUUUAUUAAGUAUAAACUAUGUUUUAAAAUGGCAGAAGUAUAAGAGCAAUGAGGAAACUCUUAUGGGUAUAGACUGCAUUAGUUAGAACCAUACUACAUUAGGCAAACACAAGCACAUCUAUACGCACCAUUUCAAAAGGGCUACAAGCAUUGUUCAUGUGUAGAAUUGUAGAAUUAGUCAUGCAUUUAUGCUAUAUACUCCUCCUUAGUUUCCUGAUGUUCCUUUUUUAGUUGAUUGCAUUUAAUUCUUAUUUACCUGUUCAAUUAACCAUGCUCUAUAUUGUGCACCUACGUAAAAGAAGUACGCUCUAUAAGAUUAUGAGAAUCAACCUAUGCAUGCAGUGAAUCAAACAUAGGUAACUAAUAUGCAAAUUUUGCUAUUGUACAAAAGAAACUAUCUUAAAGAGGUAUAUGCAACCAAAACUGAAUAAUGCUAACUGGAUUUAGUUUGGUCCACACGAUUGUGUGAAUUAAGUACAAUUCUGUUACGUAAAUGCAAUCUAUAACCACGGACUUAAGACUUACGAAAAAACACAUAUCACCUCCAAGAUGAACUAUCAUUAGACUUAUGAAAACUAAGAACAGUUGUGCCAAGAGGCAUCUGAUUUCAAUCUCAGAAAUCCUAGAUUGCAUCUUCAAGUGUCAUGAUUUUGAUUGAACAGUUUUGGCUUGAUAAGCAGGGAUUUCAAGUGCAACAAUAAGUUUUUUCUUUGUCAUGGACAUUUUAAAGUAUAUUUCUAUAUAUAAUGAAUUUUAGUGUAUUUCCUAUGAUAAUAUCUACGUUUAAAGCAACUCAAAAAUCAUUCGCAAAAAGAUUAAAUUGCAUUUUUAAGUUUAUAUUACUUUCAAGAUUUCACAUAUUAAACGAAUUGACAUAAAUAGAACUGCUUAAAAGUUUUCAUUAUUAUAGAGAAUAGCAUAUCAGCAUUCGCCUGGGUUAAGUACAAAGGAAAGAUAAUAAAGUUUCAAUGUUGCAUACUCAGGAUCAGGAAGCUACCAUCUUGCCUUGCUUAUGCAAAUUUGGUUUACAAUUUGACCAGUAUGAGAGUAGCCUGAAAGAAAGUUGCGUGGGGGCUAAUGAUAAUGAGUUUUUAGUUAAAAUGUAUGACAUUCUCUGGGAGAAGUUAAGGAAAGGUAUUUUAGAGGUUGAAUGGGCAAGGAGUUGCAUGUUGAUGUUGUUUGUAAAAGAAUGGAUAUAAACAGAACCAACAAAAAGGUGAACUAAUAAGAGAAAGAAAGAUAUCAUGCAUCCUCCUUGUUUUAAGUAUAAAACAUAAUAACAAAACUAUCAGAUAGCAUAGAUAGGGAAAAGGUUGUGGAAGCGCAAGCUUGAGAGAAUGGAAAUUUUGUUUUUUGCCAAUUUUGUUAAGUAAUAUGGGAGAGUAGCUCAUGGUGAAAGUGGCUAGUUGGCAAACUGAUAAUGCAACUGAGAGUUAGAGUUUUGUAUUGUCCAACCACCUCCGAAAAGUUAAGAAAGGUUAGGAAAAAAAUUAUGCUGAAUGUCCAUGUAGUAGGACCUAGGAAUUACAAUUCCAUCCCAUUAAUUCCAUUGCCAUACCUUGCCCUUUAAUUUUUCACAUUGUAUCAAUUUGAGCCAAUUGAUAACAUUGGUUAAAAAAUUGGACCAGACUUGAGGGCAAAAAAGAGAAAUAUACCUUUUCUCUCUUCCCCCUCUUCAAAGCAGUCACCCUACACCACCACUUACCCCCACAACACCCCUUCCUCUGCCACCACCCUUGAACUGCACCCCCGCCACCCCCACCUUCUUAUGCACCACACAUACACUCUUUCCAAUUCAUCAGCGGAGCCAUGUAGGACAGAUUGGGGGUGGGGGUGGUCAACCCCAUUCACUUCUCCAAAAAUUGUAUUUUCAUCUUUAAAUUUUAGAAGAAUCUUGAAGUUUGACCCAUAAAGUUUUAUUUUAUAUGUUUCCUUUAUUAUUUCUUACUCAUUAAAUCCUUGAUAUAAAAGGGACAACACCUCUAUUUUUCUUAUCUUAUUGUCUAUAUGUGUACGAAGUGAAUGAAAAACUACAACCUCUAGUUCUUUUAAUAACAUUAUAAAUAAAGCUAUUCGUAACAUGUUCAAAAUUUAAAAAGUCAUGGGUCUCUUCUAGACAUUACUUUUUCAUUAACACUUCAAUUUAAUUAUUUCUUUGGAUUAUCAAAUAGAAAAAUGCACAUGUAUAAUUCUAGAUAUGCACCCCCACAAUACAAGAAUCUUGGCUUCGCCCCUACUUCCCAUGCUUCAACCACCCCAACCAAUCCAUCAAAUGUGAAAAUUUGUAUUCAACCCAAAAGUUUAAGCCAUUAGGUGUAGAGGUCCAACAUGUAUAUUGAGUCAUAACCCGUUCCACACCCAAGCAAUGGCGAUUCUCCAUUAUCCCUCAUGUGAAUUCUCUAUUAAAGUCUGUCACGUGUAGCCUCCUUUUGGUCUAUUAUCGUGCAACCUUAGCCAUGUCUUUUUUGUUUUUAAUCUGGGAUGGAAUGUGCUUGGCUUUGAUAUCAUGUGAAACUUUGUAUCCAACCCAAAAAUUGAGUUCAAUGUGUAUAUUAACUCAUAACUCAUUCCACAUUCAAACAAUGCGGGAUUCUAUAACAUCAAGUUCAACACUCCUACGCCAACCAUCUCCCUGAACACAACCAGCCAACUUGGGUUCUUCAAGAAAAGAAAGGCAAAGCUAAUAUAAUUGUUCACAUAUGGAUCUACGAUUCUGACUUGGGGUAUGAAAAUAUAUGUAACGCCCAACUAUGAAAAUUUCCCAAGUAGUUUUAAAGUACAAUAUCAAUUUUAAUAUAUAAAUUUCUACCAACACAGAGUAAGUAAAAAAAAUAUCAUUAAAAAUAUUUAACUGGAAAUUAUUUGUCAACAAUUUAGUAGAAAAAUAUAAAAAUAUGAUUAUACAAUGGAGCACAAUAGUAAUAAAAAAGAAUUAAAAAAAAAUGGAGCACAAUAUAUCAUAUGCUUUCACAAUCAAAAAAUAGCAGCUACUGCUACAUGCGUCAAUCUAUUAAAGUUCAACAUUGAAGUUGUGUUUGACACACAUUUGUAAUAUAAAAAGUAUAUAUGAUAAACACGAAAUAAAUAAUUAAUCCUUUGAGGCUAUCAUGCAUGUGCUAAUGGGAUGUGAAUCCCUAUCCAUGGAGGUGUACCAACCCUUCAUAGAAUCAAAUUAUUUUACACAAUAGAAUUUUUUGAAUUUUUUGGGAUGUGGUCACUCCUAUGCAGCCUCUUGGAUCCAUCCGUGGUUCACUAACAGCGGAUCUCUAAGAGGCAUUCCAUCAAACACCAUGUAGCUCAAUCAUUCAGUGGAGGUUGUAGCUAGUAUUUCUCAAGUCAUUGGGUCAGAUUUUUAAUCAAAAGAAUCAGAAAUAAAUAUAGACGCGCAUAUACUGUAUACAUAUGCAAGUUACCUUUAUGUGUUUAUGUAUACAUAUGUGUGUGUGUGUGUGUAUUCAUGUAUAUACGAGAGAGAAAGAGAGAGAGAGAGAGAGAGG
RNAcentral lists this long non-coding RNA (72848 nucleotides) under Actinidia chinensis (golden kiwifruit). RNAcentral describes it as "long non-coding RNA (ACHI_LNC003033)". The record is from RNAcentral. Lineage: Eukaryota; Viridiplantae; Streptophyta; Magnoliopsida; Ericales; Actinidiaceae.